AUCGGCUUGAUGGUGUAAAGUAGAAGGGAUCAGAGAAGGAAGUAAGUGCAGAAAGAAGAGAAAACAAGUGAUGACAACAGCACGAAUUAGUUCAAGUAGCUUGUAUUUUUCUGCUAAGUUCAAGAGGGAUUUGUCAGCAUAAAUAAAUAUAGAAGUUACCAUAUUUCUAAGUAGCAAAAGAGUUAUGGCCGCUGGCGAGUUUUCCAUUAUGCCCAUGAUUUUUCUUCUUUUGGUUUUCUUGGCUUAGUUCUAACUAUGGUUUUUUAGUUUUCCGUUUGUUUGUAUGAAUGGAAAGAGUUUUGAGAGGUUAAGAGAUGAUGAAGAAGGAAGGACGAAUUGGUGAGGUAAAUGAGUAAUAAGGACAAAUUAAGAGAGAAUUCUCGUUUUGGAUCGUUGAAAAUGUUUAUUAGGAUGAUGGAGAUGUGGGAAACAGUAGUUUCCAGUCGGUGUUUUGCUUUCACGGGACUUUCUGGCUUUCUCGUGAACCCAAUUUUCUUUGAGUUACAUUUUGGGCCAACUCAGCCGGAUACAUCAUCUUAACCCAAUUGUUAUAACUUGAUUACUGAUAAUGUAAUUAUUGAAAAGAUAUCGUUAUGACAUUUGAUAUAUAAGAAAAUAUUAAUAACUAAAAGUAUUAAGAAGAUAACAUUAUAUUUUUAUUAUCAAUGUGAUAUUUUUAAAAUUAUCAUUAUAUAUGAAAAUAAAAAUUUAAUAUAUUUAUCUAUUUUUUUAAUGUAAAUUUUUGUAUAUAAUAUCAUUCAUUCAAUAAAUCUAACUAUUAUUCUUCAAGACACAUCAAUUCUCACCAAGGGAUUGAUAUUUGAUGGUUUCUUAUUAAUUACCAAAUAGAUUAUAGGGGGAAAUUGCAUAAAUAAUUAUACUUUAUCUAAUUUAAUUUACUUUUUCAAUGAGCCUUUAAAUGAUUAUUUUUUUACGUAUUGAAACUUUCUUCUUUAGGAACACUAGAUUUUAAAGUAAUCUUUAAUUGUGUUAUUGUAUACUCAUAUAAUUCAUGAUUGGUUUAUUAUCUUUUUAUUUAGUUGUGUUCACAUAUUGUAUUGUGUUACAUGUUUAUUGAACGUAUUUAUAUAUAAUAUCUUAACACAAUUAAUUAAUUGUAUUAUUUUUGUGUUUAUCUAUAUAACUAUUAAUACUUUAUAUUUACAUGAUACAAUUAAAAUAAACACAAAUUGUUAAAUCUACUCAAUAGUUACCGUUUGUAUGUUUGAAGAAGAAAAAGACGAAGAAGAAAUCAAAAACUCAAAACUAAACAAAAUCUAGUCAAAUUUGAAGCGAGAAUAAGAGAGAAACCAACAACUAAAUGGCCCCUAGGGUUAGAACGGAAGGGGUGUGAGGGAAGGGUUUGGGCUUCGUUCCCCAAAGGAAAUGGGCAAUAAUGGUAAAAUCAGAUUUUUUUACUUUCUCAAUUAAUAAGAAAGUAACAUUACAUUGAUUUCUUUUUUUGGUGUAAUAUGAUGCCAAUGUAAUGUAAUAUUAAAUUGAAUUUUUCUCACAAAACAUUGUAAACUUUAUCAUUUACAUUACAAGAAAUAUUACUUACUUCUUUUGUACCAAACACCCCUUAAAUGUAGCAUUAUUCUAACCUUUCCAUAAUCUUGUCCAAUCACCCUAUACGAUUGAUCCUCCUUUAACAUAAGAAAAGGUAUUGCUUUAAAUAUUCAUGGUCAAAACUUUGAAAUAAUGGACCACUUGCUACCAGAUUAUUACCCAAAUACUAUCUAAAAUUUUGCUUGACCCAUCUGGAAUUGCUAUGAAAAGGUAUUAGCAUAUAGCCAUGCAAAAUUUUUCAAAAAUUAUUUAAAAGAUUAAUAAUUUAUUAUUAUGAAUAUAUGUAUGAAUGCCCAUUAUGUUAUAAACUUCAUCCAUUCUUUAAAGUGAGUGCGACAUCAUUUAAUAAUUAUGGUCAUGGAUGUGAAAGAGCAUAAUAAUUACAAUCAUGGUGAUUACUCUAAUAACUAUUCUAAUAAUGAGAAUACCAUCCAAAGUGGAUGGAUACAUUUAAUUACCAAAAGUGGAUGGACACAUCUAAUCAUUGGAACUAAAUGGAUACAUUUAACCACCAAAAGUGGAUGAAUAUUGAAGAGAUAUAAGAAAAAAAAAUAAAAGUAGACGAAAUAAAAGGAAUAUAAAAAAUAUCUAUCAUCGAUGUGGUAUGAAAGGCCAUUGGUUACAUACCUGUUGUACGUUGAAACAUCUUAUUGAACUUUAUCAAUUAUCUUUGCAAGUUAAAAAGAAAAAAUAUAUAUCAAAACAAGUUUUGUUCAAGAUAAUUUUAACUAUGACCCAAUUGAUAUAAUAUAUCUGGAUGUUACUAAUUUUUUUGUCCAUCGUAAAGAAGGAAUUGAUCAUCUUAUUGGUUAUGUAAAUAUUCAAAAAUAAAAUUUCUUAAUAGUUUGCUAAUAUAUUUUAGUAUAACUUUAUUAUGAAAAUGUUGUUAUAUGUUCUCAUUAUAUUUAAAUGAUAUGUUUUUAUUAUGUGUUUUAAUAAUUAAUUCUAUAUUUAAUGUUCUCUUAUGAUAAUUUGUAAGUUUCUUACUAUAUAUAUUAUUUUAAAAUAUGAAUAUUCAUCUAGUUGGAUCCAAGAUCAACAAUGCAAAUAUAUGUCUAGCAAAUAGCCCUAUAAUGCACAAUAUAUUAAAAAAUAAGAAAUAUUUUUCUCACUUAACAAUGUAAGAAACAAUAUUAAUAUAAUAUCUAGUAGUAUAAGAUUAAUAAAAGCUUCAGAAAAACCAAUAUUUUAAUACUUGGAGGAACAAACUUUAUAAGAAAGGAUGUAUUAUUUUCUAUUAAGUCUCAAAAAAAGUUGUUAAGUUUUAAAGAUAUUUAUUUAAAUAGAUAUCAUAUUGAGACAACAAAUAAAAGAGACAAUUAAUAGCUAUAUAUUACAUCUAUUAUCUUAAAUAAGAAGUGUUUGUUGGAAAAAUUACCCGCUUGGUUCUCUCGAUUGUACUACACAAAUAUUAUAAUGAUUGAAACUCAUGUUAUAAUAAAUUAGAAGUUGACUAAUGAUUUUAACAUUUGGCAUGACCGAUUGGGCCAUCCGAGAUCAAUAAUGAUGCAAAAAAUUAUUGAAAUACAUGUGGUUAUUCAUUGAAAAACUAAAAAAAUUUUCAAUUUAAAGAAUUUUCAUGUGUUACUUGCUCUUAAGGUAAAUUAAUUAUAAGACUAUCACCAACUAAAGUAAGAGCUGAAUCUCCAAUACAUCCACCAUGUGAAAUACAUUUUUGGAAUGUAUUUAGGGUGAUAUAUGUAGACCCAUAUAUCUACCAUGUGAACCAUUUAGAUAUUUUACAAUUUGAAUUGAUACAUCAACUAAAUGGUCACAUGUGUACUUAUUAUCAACUUGCAAUUUAGCAUUUGCAAAAUUACUCGCUCAAAUCCUUCAUUUAUGAACACAAUUUUCUAAUUAUACAAUUAAGACAAUUUGUCUUAAUAAUGCUAGUGAAUUUACAUCUAAAGCUUUUAAUGAAUAUAACAUAUUAGUUGGAAUAACUAUUAAACAACUUGUUGUUUAUAUUCAUGCAUAAAACAGCCAAGUAGAAUUGUUUAUUAAACAUGUCCAACUAAUUGCAAAAUCAUUGUUUAUGAAAACAAACUCUUCAUUUUUACUUAGGGCAUGCCAUUUUGCAUGCGGUAGCACUUAUAGGCAUUUAAACAACGAGUUAUCAUAAAUUCUCUCAUAUACAAUUGGUUUAUGGUUAAAAAUCGAAUAUUUUCCAUCUAAAAAUUUUUGGAUGUGCGAUAUAUGUCCUAAUUACUCCACCACAAUGCACAAAGAUGAGUCCUCAAAGGAAGUUAGGAAUAUAUGUUGGAUAUGAAUUUUCAUCUAUAAUUAAAUAUCUAGAACAAUUAACAAUAGAUUUAUUCAUGACAAAGUUUAUCGAUUUUGAUUUUGAUGAAAUAGUUUUUCCAAGAAAAGAGGGAGAAAUAAGUAGCUAGAAAAUUUUUUUUCUUGGAAUGUUUUAUCAUUAUCUAGUUUUGAUUCUUACACAAAUCAAUGUGAACUUAAUGUUCAAAAGAUAAUACAUUUGUAAAAUAUAGCAAAUCAGUUGCUAGAUGUAUUUACUGACUUAAAGAGAACAACUAAAUCUCAUAUAUCAGCUGCAAAUGCUCUUAGUAGAAUUAAUGUCCUUGUAGGAUAAGGCACACCAGAAGUGCGAAAAACCAACGGUUUCAAAGAUAAAAUCCUCAAAAAAAAAAAAAGAACAAAUAUACAAAAUGGUCAAAAAGAGGAAACAAAAACUCUAGAAGUGACCCCUAACAUAAUUGAUAACAUUUUAGAAGAAAUUCAAGUAUUUGAAAUCAUUAAAAAUAAAGAGAUCUCAAUAAAUUAUGUCAUGAUGAAAAAAAUGAUACCAUAAUGAAAUAAACGUCGAUGAUAUUUUUUCAUAUAAUUUAACGCUCAAUAUUAUGGAAGAAAAUGAGGAUCAUAAACUUACAUCUGUUGAAGAAUGUAGACAUAGAAAUGAUUGGUCAAUGUGAAAAAACGCAAUCCAGGUGGAAUUGACUUCACUUGUAAAUCAUGAAGUUUUUGGACUUAUAGUCCAUACAACAAAUGGUUUAAAACCAGUGAGAUCUAAAUGAAGAUUUGUGUGAAAACGAAAUAGAAAAAUAAAAACAAUUUUGAGACAUAAAGCAUGUCUUGUUGCACAAGGUUUUACCCAAAGAUCUAGUAUUGAUUGUGAAGAGACAUAUUCUGUUGUGUUGGAUACAAUUACAUUUCUUUAUUUAGUUAGUCUAACAAUACAUGAGAAGAUUGAAAUGCAUUCAAUUACUACAACUUAUUUAUAUGAUUUACUCGAUAUUGAUAUCUAUAUGAAAAUUCAGGAUUUAAGUUGGUUGAGGCAUGUACACAAUCUUAAGAAAUUUAUUCAAUCAAAUUAAAUAAAUAUGUAUAUAGAUUAAAGCAAUCUGGACACAUGUGGUAUAAUUACCUUAGUGAAUAUUUGUUUAAAGAAAGCUAUAAAAAUAAUCUUAUAUACCCAUGUGUUUUUAUAAAAAAAUUUGGAUCUGAAUUUGUCAUAAUUGCUAUUUUUGAUGAUGACCUAAACAUUAUUAAAACUCUAGAAAAGUUAUAAAAAAUCGUGGAUUACUUAAAGAAAGAAUUUGAGAUGAAAGAUCUUGAAAAAACAAGUUUUGUUUGAGUCUUUAGAUUGAGCACGUCAUAAAUGGAAUUUUCGUUCAUUAAUCUAAUUAUAUUUUAAAAGUGCUAAAAUGAUUCUAUAUGGACAAUACACACCCAUUGAGUUCACUAAUGUUUGUAAGGUCACUAGAUAUGAAAAAAGACCAUUUCUGACCUCAUGAGGAUGAUGAAAAACUUUUUAAUCCUGAAGUAUUAUAUUUAAGUGCAAUCGAAGCACUAAUAUAUAUUGCUAGCAAUACACAACUUAAUAUAUCAUUUAUUGUAAAUUUAUUAGCAAGAUAUAGUUCUUAUCCAACUUAAAGACAUUGGAAUGAAAACAAACAUAUACUUCAACAUCUCUGAGGAAUAAUAGACAUGCGUUUAUAUUAUUCAAAUGUGUUCAAAUCAGAUUUAAUUGGUUAUGUGAAUACAGGAUAUUUAUUUAUUCCACAUAAUGCUUGAUACUAGACAUGUUAAUUAUUUACAUGUCGAAGUAUGACUAUUUCAUAGUGUUUUAUAAAACAAAUUAUAGUUGCUACUUCUUAUAAUCAUACAGAAAUUUUAACAAUUCAUGAGUUAAGUUAUGAAUGUGUCUGGUUAAGAUUUAUUUCUCAAUAUAUUCGAGAAACGUGUGACUUGUUAAUUAAGAAAGAAAUUCCAACAACAUUAUAUGAAGAUAAUAUAUCGCUUGCAUAGCCCAGUUAAAGGAAGGAUACAUUAAAGGUAAUAAGACAAAAUAUAUUUUGCCAAAAUUCUUCUUCAUUCAUGAUUUUCGAGAAAAAUGUGAUAUUAAUGUUUAACAAAUUUGUUCAAGUGACAAUCUAGUAGAUUUAUUCACCAAAGCCUUUCAUACUAUAACAUUGGAAAAGUUGAUAUAAAAGAUUGGAAUGUAUGCAAUCAUUAGGAUGAGUAAAACACACAUUGCACUUUUUUCUUGAUUAAGGUUUUUAAUGAGUUAGUAUUUCAAAAGCAUAUUCUUGAAAAGAAUUAUUUAAUUUUUUUUUCUUUACCCAGAUUUUUUUCUCAUGAAAUUGUUUCCUAAUAAAGUUUUAAUGAUGCAUAUUCUUAAUACAAUGAACAUUCAAGAGAGAGUUUUUAUGAAUAUAUAUGUGUGAAAAUCCAUUAUGUAAUGACCUAAAAAGUUCAGAUCAAGUCAAACAAUGCAAUAAGCCAAACACAAGAAUCAUAAUCUGAUUUGAACUCUUAAAUUUGAUUCUGUAUAUCUAGAUUUCUAUAUAUAUAUAUAUUAAAUUAGAUUAAGAAUAAAAUUUAGAGGUUAUUAGUUUAUAAAUAAGGCCCUUACUUCAUAUAUAAAUACACACUUAAAUAAGAUCUUUCUUACUUUAUUAAUAUUUUUUUUCAUUUAAAAGAAGUCUAGAGAGGAAAAAAGAUUUAAAUCUUGAAACUUGACAUUAAUUGGAUAAAGGAAGGGAAUGAUAAAUAGAGUUGUCAACGUUGGUCCAAAUUUGAAAAUUUUAUUCGAUUUGUCUCAAUUUAAACUCAUCAUAACUUGAUUUGGUCAAGAAUAUCAAAAUUUAAAAUUCAAAAUGAUUUGAAUAUCCGAAUUGAAUUGACUUGAAAUUGAAAUAAUUUAAACUUAAUUGAUUUUAAGAGAUUAAUUCAAAACAAUCAAAAUUUAAACUAAUGUCACUGUAAAAAUUAAUAACUUGACUUAAAAAAUUAUUCAAAUUCGAGAUAAAACGAAUUUUUUUUUAUCUAAAAUGACACGACUCAAAGUAAUCCAAUUAAUACCUUUCGGACAUCCUGAUACAGCAUAAAUUGCUAUUAUGGUCUUGAAGAAGUCCUUUUUAAGGCAAUAAGAAUGAAAGAAAGACUAAUUGUGUUUUAUUAACCCAAACUUAUAUUCAGACCAAUAACGUAAUUGGAGACCACUGUGAGCUGAGGAAAGAAUAGAUGAAGUUGAAUAAAAAAAGAAUGACUUUAGAGAAAAUUGUGAGAAAUAACCUUCUUCAUAAGCCUAAUUCAAAAAUAUUAUUUUUUUAUAAUUUUAGCUAUUUUUAGUCAAUUUUUAGCAUUACUUGACAAGAAAUACCCUUUAAAUAAUUUUAGACAAAUUAAAAUGGUUUCAGUUUUCUCUAUCCCGCCAUCCAGACAAAAAUUUCAAAAUUAAAUCUCGAUUUCUCUCUCUAAUCAAAUACUGUUUAUCUCACCAUCCAAAGAGCAGAGAUGAUAUGAAGCUUUUUCUUAUUUUGUUUUAUUUUUCUGGAUGGUGAAUCUUGGGGUUCUCAAUGGUGAUGAACAGUGAUUUUGCUCUUCUAUAGUGAUUGCAAGUAGCAUGAUGAAUGUGGUAACUAGAUGCUUUUUGAUGAUGACUUUCUUCGAAAUGUGUGCUGCGAUGGAGAUGCUUGUGUUAAUGAGUUGAAUCGGAUUGGUUAAGAUGAUGGGCUCAAGGAGAAGGAACAGCUAAAACAUGUUUGAUGGAUUUUAUGGUGGUUCAGGAUUUUGUUGUGUUUGGGAUUAGAAUGAUUGUUAAGCAUGUUUGUUGGGAAUUUUGAUUUUUUUAUGAAAUUUUGAGUUUAAAUUGUUCAGGGAGUAUUUUGUAUAGGGAGUAUAUUUUGUUUUUGCAUAAAGGGAGUAAACAAGUGUCACAACCCAAUUUUCAGGCCAUGACCGGUGCAUGGGCCGAAUGGGCAUAGCCCAUUGUGCCCAAGCCAGUUUUUUAUGCAAUCUCGAUUAUCAUUCCCAGCCAUCAUUUCUAAAACCACAUAUUGUAAUUCUCAACUAUAAAUAUUUCAGUAACAUUUUAUAGCAACCUAAUAUUCACAUUUGUAUUAUGUUAAAAUAAUGUCACCCGUUUGCCAACCUAUAUUGGCAUCAGUAAUCAAAUAUACAUAUUUGAUUUUUAAUAUGAAUCUUAGUGGUCUACAUUACUUAUAUGUAUACACAACCAUAAGACUCUUGACUGUCAGCGGAGUGACCUUAAGUGAAGGUGUAGCUACUGAGAUGCCAUAGCACCUACCAAGAAGGCGGGCAUACAUGGACAACUCAAUCUAGGUCCCAACUGCCUCUGAAUCUGAAAACAUAAAGUUUAAAAGAGUGAGUAUAAAACUCAGUGAGUGAACAUAAGAAGGGAACAAGCAACCGAUACGGAAAGAUUUUGAAAACAUGAUGCACUUUUGUUAAAAACAAUGCAAUUUAGUUUAAUUUCUUGUAAAAUCCCAUAAUUCAACCUUUGAUUAUUAAAUCCCUUAGUGUUGAAAGAUCCAUGACAAACCAUGAAGUUGAAAAGAAUGAAAGUUUCAGCAAAUGUCCAAGCAAGACAAGCAAAACAAAGGGUUUCUCGUUGCAUCAAAAAGGCAUUCUAGGUUCACAUAUAUUUUGGUCUUUCAAGCAUCGCUUCCACUACAUAAGUCCAAUUGAUAUGAUUUUUGAGUCAUUAGAAAGCUAAGAGGUUGGGCUACAAUUUUGAUGUUUACCACUUUGCCUAGUUUUGAUCGAAAAGUGGUCAAAAUUGUUGUCAAAGUGAUAGCACUGCACAACAAUUUCAAAACCACUCGAGAAUUUCUCGCUGCAGCGAGAAUCCAUAUUCGCUGCAACGAAAUUCCUUGCUGCAAUGAAAUUCAGAGCAUGGAUUAAGGUUGCCUACCCGAGAGUUUCUCGCUGCAGUGAAAAUGAAUCUCGCUGUAGUAAGAAAUAAAUCAAUAUAGUUGAAGAGGUAUUGUUACAUCAAAAAGUCAUUUUCUUGUUAAAAUGAAAAGCAAUUUGGGAGCAAUUAACAAUGCCAACAUACAAUACAUUCACAAAUAUUUUCAUAAACUUUCUAUAAUAUAUAUAUAUAUAUAUAUAUAUAUAUAUAUAUAAGUUAUAGNNNNNNNNNNNNNNNNNNNNNNNNNNNNNNNNNNNNNNNNNNNNNNNNNNNNNNNNNNNNNNNNNNNNNNNNNNNNNNNNNNNNNNNNNNNNNNNNNNNNNNNNNNNAUAUAUAUAUAUAUAUAUAUAUUAUAUAAAGUUUAUGAAAAUACUCAGCUCAUGUGCACUCCCUACUCGCACAUAACCGGGUCAUCAUCAGCUCAUGUGCACUCCCACACCGCACAUAGCUAGGUCAUCAUCAGCUCAUGUGCACUCCCACACCGCACAUAACUGGGUCAUUAUUAUCACACAAAAGGAGCAUCCAAAGCAUAAUAUACAUAUCAACAUCAGCUCAUGUACACUCCCACACAACACAUAGCUAGGUCAUUAUUAUCACACGAAAAAAGCAUUCAAGGCAUAAUAUACAUAUCAAUAUAAUGUGAUAACGCAUUAACUAUUCAUAUUGCAUAUUUCACAAGAUAGAAACAUUUCAUCAAAGCUUGUUCCCCAAGUAUAUUUUUUAAAGCAAAAACAAAUGAAACUUUCAAAUGAUUUAUUUAAACAUGUUGGCAUUUCCCAAAACAUUUUGAAAUGCAAGUUCACUCACCUUACGGUAGCAGGAUAUUACAUCGCUAUUUGUUCAGAGGCAUAUCUAGCUAUUCCUACUUGCCAGUCACUCGUUAUUUCCCUCGGCACACCACCACAGUACACUACCUUUACUGUUGCACUUCCUAGCAACAAUCCCAAUUCAAUAUCUUGAGCGUACAUCAUUUAUACUUCCCUUUUUCAUUCAAUCACGAAUCCUUAUUCAACUUAACUUAUCUUGACACAAUUUUUACCAAAGUUGCUUUUAUCCCUUGCUUGCGUAAUUCUUUAAAUUAUGAUUACCGGCAACUUGUUUAUGACUUUAACACAUAUAUUAAUCUUUUCUCAAGAUAUUUAUCAAGUUCAACCAUCCUUUCCAUAACAACCACAAUUUCUCAUAAUAUGCCACUUAAAAUGUCAACUACACAACAAUACCCAUUUUCUCAAGAUUCCUCUAUUACACUUAAAACAUCAUUUGUCUUUAGCUUUAUGGUUACUUGACCAAUACUUGAACUCCAAUAUUCCUUCAAAACAUAAAUCAUCAAGCUGCCAAAAUGAUUCACACAUUAUUUUUCCAAAGAUUUAACCAACCAUGAGCUUAAAACACAAAAAUCCUUACCUUAGCUUACUUAAAUUACAAAACCAAGCUUUUUUUCCUAUAUUUCUUUUUCUUUCUUCUUUUCCUAGGUUUUAGAUGUGCUGGAAAUUGAGGUUAGAAGCUGCAGGUUUAGUGCCCAAGAAGUUUGAAGAAGAAAGAAGUGAGAAAAGAAAGGAAAUGAAAAGAAACAAGGGAAAUCACAUAAAAAAAUUUGAUUUUCAUGAACUUGAAAUGAAAAUGGCAUUGGAAGCUUCAAGAAGAAGAUGAAAAUAUCUUGCUGGAGGAGAUAAGGAUGGUAAUGGCUGAUAAAGAUGAGAGUCAAAGCUUCCUUUGGAAGCUUUGACCAAACUUUUCGUAAAAUUAUCGUUUUACCUUCCAAGUUUCUUCCCUUUUCAAUUUAGUCCUCCCAACACUCUUUUAACUCCAAUUUCUUUUUAUUAUCUUCUUUUACAUAUGUACAAACGAAAUAUAAAGCUUAUACUUCAACGCGGCGUUUUCAUAAUAUUUAAAAUAUAUUUUUUCACACAUUAGUUUUAUUUAAUAAUGAAUGGGCCCCACUAGCUUCAUUUUUCUCCAAAAUUUUCUCGUUCUUCCUCUCCCCCACUUAGAUUAACCAUAUACUCUUUCUUCAUGAAAAAUUUCGAUACUGAAUAAAAUAUUAAUAUUUUAAUAUUAUUUUAUUAAUAAAAUAUUAUUUAUUCUAAAAUUUUUUACUUGUCUCUUUGGUACCCAAAGUACCUUAUUAUGCCUCAAUUCACUUCCAGAUCACUUUUUAUCUCACAAAUUCUUCUUCGAUAAAAAUAUUAUUAUUUUAUUAUUAUUCCCUUGCGUGCGAAAUAAUUUAUCUUAAAAUACUCUUUUCACAUUUUCUCACCUUUAAACAUUAUAAUUAACCUCAUUUCGUAUCCGAUAAACUUCAUUAGCCACCAUGUCAAAGUACGAGGUAUUACAGUCUCCUCAACUUAAAUAGAAUUCGUCCUCGAAUUCUCCUCAACGUCGAGUUGUUAAUCUCACUCAAUGAUCAUAUUCCAUUUCCUUCUUUGUAGGGAAUUUUGAUUUUUGCACUUCACUAUCUUCCAUUCGACUAGAGCACUUUACAAGGUCAAGGUACGUAACUUAUAUCUAUUAUCCUCUGUGAGUCAGAACCACGGUACCUUUCACUAUUGUUCUUUCUUAUCAUUAAGAUCCCAAGUAUGCCUUUAAUUCCAUCACUAACCUCAAACAUAUCUUUAUUUCUAUUCUUGUCAAACCUCUAGUCAUUCAUUCACCUUGUUUACCUCCAAUUCGACUAGAAUAUCUCACUUAUGUCUAUUAUCAUCUUUUAUUAAAUUUGAGCCGAAACUCCAUCUUAAUCAUACUGAUUUCGAUCAUGGUUUAUACUUGCUUACGUAUACCUAAUCACCAUCUUAUUACUUCCUUCCUUAUCAAACUUCUCGAUAUUCUUUCAUUCCUCUUAUCCCCCUACACUAUUAUGUAGCUUAUAAACAUGCCAUAUUCAUUCCUGUACGUAUCCUCAACGUUGGGGGAGGUUAAUGGCUUCAAUUAUUCCCACAUACUACAUGUUUACCUUACAUUUAUAUAGCUUCAAUCUUCUUAAUCAUAUUAGUCAAUCUUGUAUGACUUAACCACACUAUAGAUUACAUUUCCUUGACUAUUUCCCAUAUUUUCUUAUGUCAACAUAGCUCAACUUUUGCUAGGAUUUCUUAUCGUUGUACCAUCUAUACAACUAAUCAAAUGUAUUGAGUUCAAAUCUCAAACCACUAAGAACAAUUCUUCACUUUAGUUGGGCACAUUAUCAGCCCCACACAUGUGAAUGUACACGCACAUUUAAAUGUCAACAUUCUCACGUCUAAUGUAUGAUCAUUAGGUAUAAUCAAUUUCAUAUUACCUUUUUUAUAUGUUUAAAUCACCAUUCCACUUGCGUCUACCACAAGUCAUCCCUUACGUAAUCCAUACGAAUUCUCAUUAUGCCUAUGCAUAACUUCACAUCAUUUACAUGCCUAUAUUCCUUUCUUAUCAUUUCCAAUUAUAUGUUUAAGUAUCAUUUUACUAUAUAUAUCCUUGCAUCAUAAUGUCAUUAAUCACAUCUCAUUAGCUAAAUGUCAUUUUCAUUAAAUUGCAAUUCAAUAUUCGUAUAUGCUUUAUAAUCUCGUUGAUCUUUGAAAGGUUUAUCUUUAUUGGAUCAUUGCAUCUUCUGCAAUGCCACAAUCCCUAAAAGUCAUCCUUAUUUCUCAAUUAUUCUUCAUGCCUCUAACAUAUAUAUAUAUAUAUAUUAUAUCCUUGUUGCAUUUCGACUUUAAUGAGUCAUUGAAAACUUAGACUCAUUUGAAUUGUGCAUGCCUCAAGCAUUUUCGAAUUCCAAUUUUCAUACUACAUUAGGAAGUUUUCAUUAUCGGACUUCAUUAUCCAGAUUAUCUUUAAUCAUCCUUUGUUCUAUUCUUCCAUACUAAUGUGACAUCAUUCUCCCUGGACCAAUCUACAGUUUGUACUUGAAACUACAAGACUUGAAACAAGGUCCUCCUCAAGUACUUUUCAAUGUCAAUAGGAAUAUCACUUUCAACUUAUGGCUUCCUUUUUAUAACCACAUAACUUAAUGCUUGCUUUCACAAGAUCCAUAGCAGAACUCCUAUUGAGUAUUUCCUUAGGGGUACCUAUCUUAAACUUAUGUCUCACCGCAUGUGAUCACUUAACUCGUGACUUAGCCGUUAGGCUCCUCAACAAGUUUAAAAAAUCCCACAUUUUAUACUUGUUGUGUAUGAUUGGUAAUUCCUUCUCAAAGAUGUUUGUGCAUUCUUGAAACACUUAGUCUCGUAUUUGCUCUUUAACAUCCCGAGCAUAUCAUUCUAUAAACAUGCACUUAUUCUUCAAGAUAUAUAAAUACAUACUCGUCUAUCUGAUCCCCAAUUUAUCUUCAUAGGUUUCUAGUGUGCCACACAAUUGGCCUUAUGUUGUUACUAACCUUUUUCAUUUAAUUGACUCAAGACAAGAAUUGCAAAUUCUCAUAAUGAUAUUCUAGAUAAACUCAUUUGUUAUACCACCCUUGUAAUCCUUCAUUCAUGCUUUCAUCACUUGGUAUUGACAUCCCUUAUCCAUAUCUUAUAUAUUCAUCUAACUUUUCACUCACUUUUCCUUAGCCUUUAACAAGGCUUGAUCUUUUGUCCUCUUUAUUUCUUAGAGUUUGACUUUAGUCAACAUAUUAUUCAUCUUAAUGCUUCACAUGGUAAUUUAUCUCAAUGUAGCCGUCUCGAGAAGUCUUUAACUUUUCUCUUACUCACAUGCCAAUAUAUAAGGCAAUAAAGAAACUUUUUAAUUCACUCCUAUAAACACUUUCCCAACGCUCUUAAAACUUAAAUUAAUAAAGCUCAACAUCAAGACCAAUGAUCGUACUUCAACUUGUGAGUUUUAUCUUCAUGCCACUCACAACUUGCUCUUGCCUUCUAGCCAUAAGGAGUUCUUAAUGCGAUAGCGUUGGCAGUCAGCAUUGUGACAUUGCAGCUACUGAAAUUUACUUUAUUAAAUGGAUUCUGCCACAUUUAAGGCUACGACAUUAAUCAUUCUCAACCAUGUGGCUUCCUUUUGAGUCUAUAGCACAAUUAGCAAAACUAACUUUUUAUCACAAGUAUGCAAACAUUGAUUGCAACAUAUCUAUUUCACCUUUUGUGGUAUGCCAAAAUUGUCCUUUAGGCAUAUUUCACUACUAACAUUCAUAUACCUUUACCAUGACAUUUAGUGCAAAUUUUGUUUAAGCAAUGAUCUCUAAUUAACUCUUAGGUAUAUAAAUAUCAAAGUAUACAUCACUUCGCGUUACAAUCUUAACCUUACUCAUCAAUCCUUAACCGUUAACAUUGGUAAGGUGGACAACUCACUUAAUUAUUGCAUCUUGCCUUUGCGGCCAUAAGAUCCAAAUUCGUAAACUUAGGAUGGAGAAGCUCCCUCUUCGAGCUUAUCUAAUAAUCAACAAUUUCUAAAUCUUUUACCUUUAGAGAAAUCAAAUUCAAGACUAAUCAUUUACAUCAUAGGUUGCAUACUGAACCAUAUAAACUUUUUAUUUGAUCUCUAAAGCAACUUGUAUACUAAGCUCAAACAUAGAACUCCAUAUGACAUUUAAACUAAAAUCAACAUUUCUAAGUCAUUUAACUUCAAGCUACCAAAUCCACAACUAAUCCUUUAAUCCUUUGGCUUCACCCUAAGCAUAGCAAAAUUCAAGUUCAUCCUUAAGGCAAAUUUGUUUACUAGGUUUUUUCUUGAUGACCACACAUCAUUUAUAACAAUCACUAGCCAUUCUAGUCAAAGUACGCCCCUAUUACCAUUACCUGAUGUGCUCUUUUAUAUUGAUCUCAAAUACAAUUUAUAGUCAUAUAACUUUCUUCCCAUUGACAACCAUGGGUUUAAAUUAUAACUCCACCAAAUGAAUAAACUAUUACGGACCUAUCAGUCCAGCGCCACCUUCCUCCAUCCUUAGUCGGAGGGAUAUAUCAUUACAUUAAUCUUUCAUUAAGAGCAUUUACUUAAAAUUCUUCCAACAACAGCUUGUGUCUUGGGUGGCAUCUCAAACCCAAGCAACGACACUUCUUAUGACCUUUAUGUAACGCUAAUGAAAAGGGUAGGGUACUAAAAAUAAGAGUUCGUAUAGCCUAUUGUCUAUGACUUGUGUUGUAGUCACAAACCAUAAACAAGACUCUACAUUAACUCCGACAACUCCGCUGACUGAUAAGAGAAUCCCUAGGACUCAACUAAACUUAGACCUCAGAUACCACCUUUAUCAUAGCCCAAAUUUUGGGCCGUGACCGGUGCAUGGGCCUAACGGGCAUAGCCUAUUAAGCCCAAGCAAGCCUUUUUAUGCAAUCCCGAUCAUCAUUCCCAGCCAUCAUUUCUAAAACCACAUAUUGUAAUUCUUAACUAUAAAUAUUUCAGUAACAUUUUACAGCAACCCAAUAUUCACAUUUGUAUUAUGUUAACAUAAUAUCACCCAUUUGCCAACCUAUAAUGGCAUCAGUAAUCAAAUAUACAUAUUUUAUUUUUAACAUGAAUCUUAGUGGUCUGCAUUACUUAUACGUAUACACAAGUAUAAGACUCUUGACCGUCAGCGGAGUGACCUUGGGUGAAGGUAUAGCUAUUGAGAUGCCAUAGUACCUACCAAGAAGGUGGGCAUACAUGGACAACUCAAUCUAGGUCCCAACUACCUCCGAAUCUGAAAACAUGAAGUUUAAAAGAGUGAGUAUAAAACUUAGUGAGUGAACAUAAAAAGGGAACAAGCAACCGAUACGGAAAGACUUUGAAAACAUGAUGCACUUUUGUUACAAACAAUACAAUUUAGUUUAAUUUCUUGUAAAACCCCAAAAUUCAACCUUUGAUUAUUAAAUCCCUUAGUGUUGAAAGAUCCAUGAUAAACCAUGAAGUUUAAAAGAAUGAAAGUUUCAGCAAAUGUCCAAGCAAGACAAGCAAAACAAAGGGUUUCUCGUUGCAGCGAAAAGGCAUUCUUGGUUUGCAUAUGUUUUGGUCUUUUAAGCAUAUCUUCCACUACAAAAGUCCAAUUGACAUGAGUUUUUAGUCAUUAGAAAGCUAAGAGGCUGGGCUACAACUUUGAUGUUUACUACUUUGCCUAGUUCUGAUCGGAAAGUGGUCAAAAUUGUUGUCAAAUUAAUAGCAUUGCACCACAAUUUUGGAACCACCCGAGAGUUCAUGGCUGCAAUGAGAAUCCAUUUUCGCUGCAGCGAAAUUCCUUGCUGCAGUGAGAAUCCAUUCUUGCUGCAAUGAAAUUCGGAGCAUGGAUUAAGGUUGCCUACCCGAGAGUUUCUCGUUGCAGCGAGAAACAGAGCAAUUUAGUUGAAGGGGUCUUGUUACAUUAAAAAGUCAUUUUCUUGCUGAAAUAAAAAGCAAUUUGGGAGCAAUUAAUAAUGCCAACAUACAACACAUUCACAAAUAUUUUCAUAAACUUUCUAUAACAUAUAUAUAUAUAUACAUACAUACAUCAUCAUGCAUGCCAUCCCACCACACUAAGCUCAUGUGCACUCCCUACUCGCACAUAGCCGAGUCAUCAUCAGCUCAUGUGCACUCCCACACCGCACAUAACUGGGUCAUUAUUAUCACACAAAAGGAGCAUCCAAAGCAUAAUAUACAAAUCAUCAUUAGCUCAUGUGCACUCCUACACCGCACAUAGCUGGGUCAUUAUUAUCACACAAAAUGAGCAUUCAAAGCAUAAUAUACAUAUCAAUAUAAUGUGAUAACGCAUGAACUAUUCAUAUUGCACAUUUCACAAGAUAAAAACAUUUCAUCAAAGCUUGUUCCCCAAGUAUAUUUUUUAAAGCAAAAAGAAAUGAAACUUUCAAAUGAUUUAUUUAAACAUGUAGGCACUUCCCAAAACAUUUUGAAAAGGAAGUUCACUCACCUUACGAUAGCGGGAUAUUACAUCGCUAUUUGUUCGGAGGCAUAUCUAACUAUUCCUACUUGUCGGUCGCUCGUUAUUUUUCCCUGCACACCACCACAGUAUGCUACCUUUAUUGUUGCACUUCCUAGCAACAAUCCCAAUUCAAUAUCUUUAGCGUACAUCAUUUAUACUUCCCUUUUUCAUUCAAUCACGAAUCCUUAUUCAACUUAACUUAUCUUGACACAAUUUUUACCAAAGUUGCUUUUAUCCCUUGUUUGCGUAAUUCUUUAAAUUAUGAUUACAGACAGCUUGCUUAUGACUCUAACACAUAUAUUAAUCUUUUCUAAGGAUAUUUAUCAAGUUCAACCAUCCUUUUCACAACAACCACAAUUUCUCACAAUAUGCCACUUAAAAUGUCAACUACACAACAAUACCCAUUUUCCCAAGAUUCCUUAACUACAUUUAAAACAUCAUUUGUCUUUACCUUUAUGGUUGCUUGACCCGUACUUGAACUCCAAUAUUCCUUCAAAACAUUAAUCAUCAAGCUGCCAAAAUGAUUCACACAUUAUUUCUCCAAAGAUUUAACCAACCAUAAGCUUAAAACACAAAAAUCCUUACCUUAGCUUGCUUGAAUUACAAAACCAAGCUUUUCUUCCUUUCUUUCUUUUUCUUUCUUCUUCUCCUAGGGUUUAGAUGUGCUAGAAAUUGGGGUUAGAAGCUGCAGGUUUAGUGCCCAAGAAGUUUGGAGAAGAAAGAAGUAAGAAAAGAAAGGAAAUGAAAUGAAAAUAAACAAGGAAAAUCACAUGAAAAAAUUUGAUUUUCAUGAACUUGAAAUGAAAAUGGCGUUGGAAGUUUUAGGAAAAAGAUGAAAAUAUCUUACUGGAGGAGAUAAGGACGGUCAUGGCUGAUAAAAAUGAGAGUCAAAGCUUCAUUUGAAAGCUUUGACCAAACUUUACAUAAAAUUACUAUUUUACCCUCCAAGUUUUUUCCCUUUUUACUUUAGUCUUCCCAACACUCUUUUAACUCCAAUUUUCUUCUAUUAUCUUCUUUUACACAUGUACAAAUGAAAUAUAAAGCUUGUACUCUAACGCGGCGUCUCCAUAAUAUUUAAAAUAUAUUUUUUUCUCGCAUUAGUUUUAUUUAAUAACGCGUGAGCCCCACUAGCUUCAUUUUUCUCUGAAAUUUCUUCGUUCUUCCUCUCCCCCACUUAGAUUAAUCGUAUACUCCUUCUUCAUGAAAAUUUUAGACACUGAAUAAAAUAUUAAUAUUUUAAUAUUAUUUUAUUAAUAAAAUAUUAUUUUAUUUCAAAAUUUUCCACUUGUCUCCUUGGUACCCAAAAUACCUUAUUAUGCCUCAAUUCACUUCCAAAUCACUUUUUAUCUCACAAAUUCUUUCUCGAUAAAAAUAUUAUUAUUUUAUUAUUAUUUUCUCGCAUGCGAAAUAUUUUAUCUUAAAAUACUCUUUUCACCUUUCCUCACCUUUAAACAUUAUAAUUAAUCUCAUUUGACAUCAGAUAAGUUUCAUUAGCCACCAUAUCAAAGUACGGGAUAUUAAAGCAAAGCCUUUCCGAUAAGGAUAUAUUUUGUCUUGCUUUGGAGGGUUAUGGAGUUUUAUAACCUAUCUUUUAUGAAAUGCACAAUUUCAUGGCUUAGCAAAAAAAAUGUGUUUUAGGUUCUUGAGUUUAUUAAUUUAUUCAUAGAACUCCAAAGUUGAAGAGUUGAAAUUGAUUAGAUUGAUUUUUAAGUAUUACGAGACUAGUUUUUAAGUAUUGCGUGACUUAAUCACUACGUGACUAGUUUUUAGACACUACGUGACUAGUUUUUAGACAUUACGUGAUUAGUUUUAGGCAUUGCGUGACUGGUUUUUAAAUAUAGCAUGACUGAUUUUUAAGUAAUGCCUAAGUCACACAAUACCUUACUAACUAGACAUGCAAUGCCUUACUAACAAGUCAAGCAAUGCCUAUCAACUAGUCACACAAUGCCAUAUCAACCAAUCACGCAAUGCCCAAAGUCAAUCACGCAAUACCUAAAAAUUAGUCAUGCAAUGCCUAAAGUCAGUCACGUAAUGUUCAAAGUCAGUCACGCAAUGUCUAAAAACCACUAAAACUACUGAAUUUCAUUUAACAAUAUCAAUAACUUCAAACGAUGUACCAUAUUUCAUUUAACAAUAUAAUUAAUGAAUAUGUCUAUUUGACAAAAAUACUCAAAAUAUUCAAAGGUUUUUCUUCAUAUAUCAAAAAUCACUACAAAAUGCUUAAAAAUGCUCAAAACGCUCAAAGGCUUUCUUCGUGCAUCAAAAACUACUACAAAAUGCUCAAAAUGCUUAAAUGUUUUUCUUUCGGGUAAUGAAUACUCCAAAGCUAAAUAGUUUGGCAAAGAAAGCUCAAAGAAUAUGAGUUGAUUUGAGGCGUAGACCUAAAUAUACUUGACUUGUUAAUAGGUCUCAGGUUGAGACGUGAAGCUAAAUAAGUGGAUCGAUUUCAUUAAGGGUAAUUUUAUCUAAAUUUUAAUUUUUUUAUUAAAAAUAGUUAAAAUUAGGGAGAAGUCUAUUGUCAAAAACACCUUAUACAUAGAGCUUAUUUUAAAAAAGAACCCAUGAUUUUAAGUGCUUGAUGAACUCCUUGCUUUCCAUGUUAACAGCAUGCCCUGCAUUCUUUAUCACUACAAGCUCUGCGCCGUCCCUGGUAUGUAGGGGCGGAGGGUAAGCCAACAAUGGGGGGGCCGUGGCCCCUUCAAAAUUUUUAAAAAUAUUUAUUUUAUAUAUAUUUUUUAUCAAUGGUCCCCUCAAAAUUUUUAAAAAUAUUUAUUUUAUAUAUAUUUUUUAUCAAUGGUACCCUCAAAAUNCUCCAAAAUUUUUUAAAUUUUUUUAUUUAUUAUAUAUUAUUAGUAGCCCAAUCAAAAUAAAUUUUUUUAUUUAAUAAAUAUAUAAUAAAUAAAAAAAUCAGAUAACCUCACAAACUUAACUUUAUCCUAAUUUAAAUUUCUCUACACCUUCUUUUCUUUUCUUUUCUCUUCUCUUUUGUGUCUUUUUACUUUUAUUUUUCUUUUCUUGUAACUCACCAUUAAAACAUACCCUAUUCUUCAAAAGAGAUUUAUGAGCUUGUGAGUUUGGACAAGGAAAGACAAAGAUCACCCACCAUCAUUAUGUAAAAUUAAGAAGAGGUAAAGUUUUUUUUUUUUUUUUUUUUUUUUAUUUUUUUUUAUUUAUAUUAUUUAACUAUUAUGUGAAAUCUUGUAUUUCGUAUUUAAUUAUUUAUAUUUUAUUCAUUAUAGUUUUAUGUUUUUUUUUUUAAGUUUAAAUAUAAAUAUAAUUAUUUUUAGCAAUGAAAAUUAUGAAAACAAGAUUCCGGAACAAAAUGGAUGAUGAGUUUCUUGUAGAUAAUUUAGUUGUUUAUAUUAAGAAAGACAUUGCUAGUCUUUUCACUACACAGUCAAUAAUUGAUAAAUUUGAAUUUAAGAAACAUCGUCGAACACAACUUUCUUAGAUGACUAUUAUAAGUUUUUUUUUAUUUUUUUAUUUACAUGUUAUAUAAAAUUAUUAUCUAUUAUGAAUCUUUUGAUCGUUAGUUAAAUUCAACAUAUUAUUUUUAAAAAUUUCUAACUUUUAUUUUUUUUUGUCUUUGACCCCCUAACAAAAAUUGGUUAGCUCCGCCCCUGCUAAUAUGCCUUGGCCACACAAUUCAACAUACAAAUUUUAUACUUGCACAAAAAGGACAAAUCGCAAUAUAAUACAUAAUUAAUUUCAGAUUGUUCCACUAACCUUUUUAAUCCGUGGCCUAGUUCCAUAGGGAAUAUCAGAUCUUUUUCUCCCCAGAUUAUUAAUGUGCGCUAUAAGAAAACAACUUAAAUGAACAAAAGAACAAAUCGAAAAUGAUAACACCGUCUAGGAAUUAAUGAUGUGGUGGGCAAGAUAUAAAAAGAAGAGCUGAAACCUGUGUCAUCUUAGGAAGAUUAGAGAAUUUUCUAUCUUUUAGUAUUGCCCGGAUCAACUCUCUUUUCUCUUCAAGAUAAUCCGUACACAUCACCUAGACGAGCAAGAGCGUAAAAAACAAUGAAAAUGCCAAAUUUUAAUUUGUAUCAGUGUUAAUUUCAAUUGCUUUAACAUAUCCAGGAGAUAUAAAAAGAUUGAAUUUGUUCUGAUCAUUUCCACAUUAGCCUAAUGGUAAGGGGACCACAUUUUCUAUAAGGCUUGCCACUCUAUAUUUCAUACUUGUUCUGGGGGUAACAAUUAUAAACAAGCAUUCGGCUCAUCAGAUUGAUCUUUUUCUUGCUAGAACCUGAACCAAACACAUAUCCAUAUAGGGACAAGUUAUUGGGAAAGUGAAUUUUACAUCAAUGAAAUCUGUGAGAAAAUAACUUGGCACCCACCUGCCUGCAGGCUUUACGAAGGAAAACCUCAUUAAUUCCCUCAAUUUCUCUGGCGUCUGAGGCAACAAAAUGCUCAGAGCCUCAUCCAAAUCUGCAACAUUAAAGAUACCCUCCUCCAAGCAAACACCAGCGCAGCAUAGGACCAACUUCUCCAUUUUUCUGGAAACUGCGCUGCCAUACUAUACCCCACAAACCCACCAUAGCUUAUACCCACCAGGCUCAUUCUUGGCACACCAUGUUCGUCCAUCAUCCUCAUCACGCAUUGAGCCUGGAACGACUCGGCCCGGUUGGCUCUGGUUGUGUAGGAUUCACCGAAGAAGACGAGUUCUGUACAUAGACAUUAAAUCGGGAUGUGAAGUGGCGAAGAUGCUCUCCAUAUUGCCACAUUGCAUUGGCACCAAAGCCAUGGACGAGAAGAAGAUUGGGCCUUGAUUUGUUUUGGAUUUUUGGGACCCAACAGUGCAUGACAGUGCCUUCGCCAAGAUCAGUCCUAACCGACCGAAGUCCAGCAUUGGCAAGGGAAUGGCGAUAGAACCAAUCGCGUGAUGCGGUAAAGCUGAAGCAUUUUGACAUCUUAAACUGAUGCAUUGUAAUCUCUCUAAUUCGGCCAGGAUUUCGAAUUCAGGUUUUGAGGUAUUUCAGUUCAAUGAUUUUGGUGAAGAUGAAUAAUCAUUUGGAUGUUGUCAAAUGUCAAUUUGUCAUCUAGAUCAGAUUCACUCGGGGAUUAUAAUUUCAACAUCAUUGAAAAGCUAAGGAAAAAGAAGAAAAUCUGUUGAAUGUGUUACUGUUUUUUUGGCGAAAGUCCGGAGUCGAGACGUAAACUUAAAAGCAAGCGGGAAUGUCGCAUGUUCAUAAGCAACCGAGAGAAAGAUUGGUUAUGCUAAAACCGAAAUGGUUAGGAAAUUUUGCCACAAAUUAAAAGGGAUCAUUUUGGUUGCUCGUCUGAGGGUCCAGGUAAAAGGAAACUCCUUAUAACUUAUCAGGAGGAUACUUCUAAAAGUUUUCCUUUUUUGCAAAGAUAAUGAGUGGAGAGAACUGUAUGUAAUUGGAUGCUCCCUUUCCUGUAUGGAGAAAGGACUUUUUGAUGGUCAGGAUUAAAGCUGAUGCCCAAAUUUUGGUACACAAUUCUGUAUAUAGACCAAUAGGUACCAUUGUCCUUUAACAUUGAAUUCCACUUUGGAUAAUUUUGGGCAUAGAUCAAUUUACUAGUGAUGUGUCCUUCAAUUACCGUGAACCGGCGAUGACAGAGUAUACAGGUGUAGAUACUUGAUUUUGGUUAAUAUUGUUACUCUAAAGAAUUAUGUUACAACAUAAUAUUGUACAGAGAAUAACCUGAACAAGUGAAGUGCUACUUCACGCAAAAUAAUUAAAACAAGUGAAGCGCUACUUCACGCAAAACAACUAGAACAAGUGGAGUACUACUUAAAGCAAAACAAUUAGAAUAAGUAAAGCACUACUCCAUAUGGAACAACUAAUAUAAGUAGAAUAGUUACUUCGAAUAGAAUACCACUUCACUCGAGUAACAGUGAAAGUAACUUGAAAUAAGUGGCAGGGUUCAUGGGUUACUUUCAUCUUGGGAUGUUCCGGAGAGUUUGGCUUGGUGGCUCAGAUAUGGAGGUAAUUAAGAGGUCUUCCUCCUAACCGUUUCCUGAAGUACAAGUGUCUCACCCUUUUACCUUGUUCUCGUACACCUAUUCAUGUAUAGCUUCUCUUGUACCUAUUCUCGUAUAGCUCCUUCUCUUGUACCUAUUCUCGUAUAUCUCUUUUCUAUUACCUUUUAUUUGAGAAUAAGUUUUAUUACAUCUAAUUACAGUAACGGUUACUCACAUUUAUGUUCUUCAUAAUAAUGUCAUUUAUUAGGCGCAUUAAAUCCUAUUCUUGAGUAACCGCCACUUUUAGCACUAUAUAUAGAGCCUCACAAUUCAUUUAGAGGGGCUCUUCCCCCUAGAGCUAACACAUUCUCAACUUGAGAGCUUUUCUCUCUAAAUUCUGUCUCUAAUUCUUUUCUACUCUUUAGUUCUUUUCUUACUUUAUUCUAUCUGUCACUACACUCAGUACUUCAGGAACUGCUCCAAUCUUCCUCUCUGUCGCCUCCGGCGCAUCAUUUUCCUUAUUUGCAACGCUUCCUCUCCCCAUCACAAGAACCCCCUUUACAUUUUGGCGACUCCACUGGGGAGGAGUGAUUACAUUAAGUAAAAGCUUACUAGAAAAACUUUGCGUUAUUGGAAGAAAUAAACAGUUCCUUUAGUAACCAAGAUGCAUCUAUUCUCACCUACAUCCAAAAGCUGAUGAAAAUGAUUGAGGCUUCUUGAGAGAGAAUGCAAAUGUUAGAAGUCAACAAUAAGCGGAUGUUGGAGACCAUAUCUCAACUUGCAUCCUUCACUUCCACCAUUUUUCAAGCUCAAUCUGUACACUUUAAUGAGAGUGCACCUGACGAAGUCAUUCCUCUAGUUACAAACACUAAGGGGAAUGAAGGAAAUGGAGAAACUGCAAUUGAUGUGGAUGUUUAGGGAGGAGUUCUACUUCUCUACUCAAGAGAAGGUUAAUCUCCUUGAUUUGGGAACAAAAUAUCAAAAGUCCAGAGAAGACCUCGUGGAAUACAUCUAACACUUUAGAGAAAGGGUGUUGGAUAUACAAGAAUCUUAUGAUGAGAAGGAGUUGGUGACGAUUUGCAUUUAAAAAAAAAAAUGUUUGACGAGUGUAGGCUACACUAGCAGAAUUUACCUCUUCCAGCUUUUGCUACCUUAAUGGAAAUGGCACGAAGAAUCAAUAAUACGGUUCUCAAACAAAAUAGAGCUACUCGCUUCGAUAGAAAGAAUACUCCAACAGUGAAUGCAAUUUAAGGAAAAGGUAGAGAAAGAAGAGAUUCUUUUUAAAAGGGAAUAUUCCAUAAGAAAAUGCAAGCAGAAGAGUUGUUGAUUGAGAACAACAAGGUCCAAAACAACCCGCUUCCUGCUCAUGUAUGAUAUUUCUAUGACUUUAACUCUUCAUCGCUUUAUGAAUUGUAAUUUGACAUUAAAAAAAAUUCAUAUUCAGCUGCUAGCUUUAUCGCUUAUAUUUUGGUUGUAAUUGUAUUAUACUAUUAGUUGCCAGCUUUAGCACUUAUUCUUUGACCAUAGUUCAUCAUUCUUACUUCAGCCACAAGCUUUACCACUCAUAUUUUGGCUGCAAUGAUAUUUUUCUUUUGGUCGCAAGCUUUAUCGCUUAUUCUUUGACCAUAAUUUAUUAUUCACAUUCCAGUCGCUAGCUUUAUCGCUCAUAAUUUGGCUGUAAUGAUAUUAUGCUAUUGGCUACUAGCUUUAUCGUUCAUUUCUUGACCCUAGCUUAUCACUCACAAAUUGGCCACAGCUAUUACACUCACUUAUUUUAAGGGUUGAAUUAAUCUCCUUUAUGUCAGGCUAGAGUUGAUCUCCUUGAUGUAAAGUUGAGAGUUCCCUUUUGGCCACACACAAUAAUAUGAAAUGUGAAUAAAUACGCAACAAGCGUAUAACAUUAUUAUUAUUACAAAAGAAAAAGAAAUAUGAUAUAUCAAUAGAGAAGUACUAGUUCAAAUGAGCUUUCAAAAAGAGUAAAGGAAAAGCAAAAGACUAGUCAAUUACAUACUCUAUAGAGAAGAGUUAUUAUUGACAAAUACAUCUAAUUGUUCUUGUACUUCAGCUUCACAUUUUUUCAGUAAAGCUAUCUUCGCUGCAAUGUCUUCUAACUCAUUCUCCAAGGAAGACUUGUUGAGAAAAAUCUUGGCUUUAGAUCUACAAUCACUGAGGCACUCAAGCUUGAAUCCAAAGUUACAAGCAUCAUUGAAAUCCUGUAACAUCUGUUGCAAUUCCUCUAGUGAAGUACUCAUUAGUGGAGCAUGGGAAAUGGCUAAAGCUCUACCCAACACUUCCAUCAUUAAGCAAAUGACGUCUACGUUCUUUACAAAGAAGGUACUCCAAAACUCUCCCUCUAUAUUGAAAACAUGCUCCAAGUAUGCCACAUACUCUAAUGAAACUUGAAAGCCAUGGAAGUCAACUCUCUUACCACUUUGUUCAGUAUGUACUACUUGAGUUCCAGAAGCACUACUUGCAUCUCUAUGUUCUGGCAAUGGGGAGGAAGAAGCACGAGGAGUCAUUGGAAUAGCUCUAACAUCAUCAGUAUCAACUCCAACAUCAUGAAUAACCUCAACAUUUGGAGUAGACUCAGGAACAACUUCAACAGCAGGAAUAGUCUCAAUAUCAAGAACAACCUCAUCUCGAAUAGCUUGCGGAGUAAGAGUAAUCUUAAUUUAAAAAAAAAAAAGGAACGGAACAACAUCAAUCGGAGUUACAUAGUAAUAUGUUUAUACCUGGUUCAUGGUAGAGUUCUGAACAUGAUUUGGAAAUAAAACAUCCAAAUCAAUGAAAUCAUCAAAAGGGGUUGGCUCACCCUCAACUUCAGCUUUAUCAACAUCAACUGAUUCAUCAUCAGAUUCAUCACUACGUUCAAAGUCACUUGAUUCUUCCUCAGUCUCAGCUUCAAAGGUCUCUUCCUCUUUAACAGAGUUAAGUUCUACUUUCGCAGUUGUUUCUCUCUACAAAAAAAAAAGUAUGAUAAGGAAAUGAAUUUAAAAAAAAAGUAGAAGAAGAAGUAAAGGAUGAACUUACUUUUCGAUGCACAUGUUUUGUUUGAUAAGUAAGAGCGCGAGAAGCAUCAUCUUCAUUUACACUUCUUUUCUUUUUGAGAGAAAUCAAGCGUAAGGAUACAUUGGAGUUACUUAUAGGAGGAGUGUAGAGACAAGCUCUGGGAUUAGUCAAAGGCAUAAUAAAAGAUCUCCAUUCUGCAACACACUCCAUCCAAUAAGCAAACCAUCCAGAAGUGUGGAUACCAACUCUAUCAAAAGCUGGGACAGUACAACUCUUAAGUUUAUCUAAACGAAGUUGAAGUUUUGCCAUGAGGAAUGAAGAAACGCAAGAAGAAAAAUUGAUAGUUGAAGAAGAGUCAGACGGAGCUGGUUGGUCAAACCCAAAUUGGCGUGCCACUCUAAAAGGAGAAUAUACCUCAACAGAAAGAAUAUUUCUAUCUCCACCUGAACUGGAACUCUCAAUCAUAGAUGGCAAUUAGGAACUGUGAACCCAUACACAAAAGUUAAUACCUUGUGAACUCAUUCUUCCAAACUGUAGAGGGUGGUGAUCAUAAUAAAUUUCAGGAUUAGCGAAUCCAUUUAUGGGCUGCACAUAAGGUCUGGGAUUGAAUUCUUUUGUCACAUCCAUCACUUCAAUAACAUUACCUCUCGGGAGUUGAUCAUGCCAUGCCCAAGCUCUGUAGUUAUUCUUGGAUAAAGGGUUAUUCACAGAAAAAUAUGCAAAAGGAUAUACAUUAGUCAUGGGUGGGCAAGUACCAAACCUUUCCCAUAGGCACAUCUGAAUCAAGGAAGCAUCCACAUAAGUCAAAACUUUGUAACGCCUAGCUGACUCAACAGUUUUGAGUUGGAACAUGUCUAAUCUUUUAUAUAGUGAUCCUAAAUAUAGUGGAGCAAGAGAAAAACGUAUUCCUUUAAUAAUUUUUAUUACUAAAGGAACAACUGUUGGAGAGAUACCAUCAUCUGGACACCUUGGGAGUAUGUGUCGUGCCAACCAAAAGAUUACUAAAGCCACCAACUCAUGCUUAUGGUUUGGGUACUCAAGAGAACUAAUCUCAAUUCCCUUAGCAUUGAACUUUUUAUAAAAAAAAACCCUAUCCAAUUGGAGAAUCGUGCAACCUUCGAAGCUUUACUUAGACUCUUAAGUAGAUCGAAGAAAAAAUCUCGAGUAUAUACCUCUUCUUCAGAAAGCUUAAUAUAGUGAAAUCAUCCUUUCCUAUACAAGAAAGUUCCAAGAUAACACAUACAUCUUCUAGAGUGAAGGUAAAUUCCCCCCAUGCAGUAAUCAUAGUAUGAGAAAACGUACUCCACCUCGCAAGAAUAGCACGCCACACAUCCAUCAUUUUUUCUGUAAGAAUAUUGAGCUUGGAAGUGAUUCGUAUAGCAUCAAGUAUCCUAGCAGAAGAGAGAACUUUAACAUAAGAAUGAUUCUUCAACUCCUUAGUUACCCAUUCAUCCUAACCAUGAACAAAUUGAGAAUUGGAGCCUAACUUAGUAGCAGAAAGGGGAAACUCACUAUGUUCAAACCUGAAUUUCAUAAUAGAUUGUCCUGGAAUACCACUUCUUCUAUGAGGAGGUGCUUCUUAGUAUAGACAAUUCCAAUCAUAUCCAACAAACUCAAAGGUAUGUUUGUCAACCUGUCUGACACAAACUUCUUCCCAAAAACGAUUUUCUCCUCAUUCUCUAAUAAUUUCAUCUUCUCAAUUUUCAAGAACAAGAAGAACUUUAUCAUUCUUUCCUACUCUAAUUUUCUUGGGAGCAACUAAUUUAGAAUCAUUAUUCUUCCUUUUAUGUGCAGUGAUUUUCUUUCUUGUUGCAGCCCUUCUAGGCUCACCAUAAUUGAUCUUCGGAGGGACACGCGUCCUAGGUAUAGAGGAUGAUGGAAAAAGCUACCUACAAACAUGAUCAUGAAAAAAGAGAUAAGUAUAAAUACACAAUAAUUUUUCAUUUUUACUUAUUUAUUAUGCAUGAAAAAAAAAUCACAAUCACAAAGUAAAACAAUAAAACUUAUCAAAAUUAUAUAUUUUGAUAUUAUUAUUUUUAUGUAUGCAAUAUAAAUAUAUAUAAUAAAUAAAUAAAACUUAAAAAAAUUUACAACUUUAAAUAAAAAUAAUAUAAUAAUUAAAAAUUAUAAAAAAAAUAAAAUAAUAAUAACUUGCCGCAUAAACCGCGAGCUUUAAAAGAAAUAGCUCGCGGUAUAUGCCGUGAGCUCCAAUAGAAAUAGCUCGCAGCAAGUCGCGAGGUCAAAAGAAAGCUCCAAAACAAAGGUGCCGCACAAGCCACAAGCUUUAGCACCAAAACCAAGUAAAAAAAAAAAAUAUAUAUAUAUAUAUAAUAAAAAAAUUAAAAAUUAAAAAAAAUUAAAAAAAAUAAAAUAAAUAUAAAAAAAAAUUAAAAAUUAAAAAAAAAUUAAUUAAAAAAAUUAAAAAAAAAAAAAAAACGCAGCUUGUGCUGCUAAUAAAUAAGAGGAGAAACAAAAAGUCAACUAAAAAAAAUAUUAUUAUAAAAUUAAAAAAAAAAAAUUUUUGUUCAAAUUGGAGUAGCUCGCGGCAUGUACCGCGAGCUCUAAUNNNNNNNNNNNNNNNNNNNNNNNNNNNNNNNNNNNNNNNNNNNNNNNNNNNNNNNNNNNNNNNNNNNNNNNNNNNNNNNNNNNNNNNNNNNNNNNNNNNNNNNNNNNNNNNNNNNNNNNNNNNNNNNNNNNNNNNNNNNNNNNNNNNNNNNNNNNNNNNNNNNNNNNNNNNNNNNNNNNNNNNNNNNNNNNNNNNNNNNNNNNNNNNNNNNNNNNNNNNNNNNNNNNNNNNNNNNNNNNNNNNNNNNNNNNNNNNNNNNNNNNNNNNNNNNNNNNNNNNNNNNNNNNNNNNNNNNNNNNNNNNNNNNNNNNNNNNNNNNNNNNNNNNNNNNNNNNNNNNNNNNNNNNNNNNNNNNNNNNNNNNNNNNNNNNNNNNNNNNNNNNNNNNNNNNNNNNNNNNNNNNNNNNNNNNNNNNNNNNNNNNNNNNNNNNNNNNNNNNNNNNNNNNNNNNNNNNNNNNNNNNNNNNNNNNNNNNNNNNNNNNNNNNNNNNNNNNNNNNNNNNNNNNNNNNNNNNNNNNNNNNNNNNNNNNNNNNNNNNNNNNNNNNNNNNNNNNNNNNNNNNNNNNNNNNNNNNNNNNNNNNNNNNNNNNNNNNNNNNNNNNNNNNNNNNNNNNNNNNNNNNNNNNNNNNNNNNNNNNNNNNNNNNNNNNNNNNUUUUUUUUACUUGAAUAUAUAUAUAUAUAUAUAUAUAUAUAUAUAAUUCUUUCAAUAAAAAAAAUUCAUCUCAUGCAAGAAAAGUUUCUUAUUUCAUAUUUUAACUUGGAGAUAUAAAAAAAAAAAAAUUCAUGCAAGGGGCAACAAAUAAGAGAAAUUCAUUUAAAAAAAUAAAAAUAAAACAAGAAAUUAUAAGAGAAAGAAAAAUUUACUUACUUAAAAAGAUUCGCAAAAGAAUCGACUUUGUUCUGAAAUUUGAAUAUAAAUGAAAAAAAUUGUUCAUAGUAACUUAAUAUUUAUAAGCCACAUAGAAUCAAGGUUUUUUAUGAAAAAAAUAUUAAAUAUUAUUACAUAAUCAAUUAAAUAUUAUAAAAGAUAUUGACAUUAAAAAAAAGAUAAUCAAAUAUUACGAAAGUAUUAAAUAUUAUUGCAUAAUCAAUCAAAUAUGACAAAAAAUAUUGACACUACAAAAAAAAAUUUUGGUAUUACACCUUACACAAAGCAUUACUGUCUAAAGCAUUACUAGCUAAGAUGUUACUGUCUAAAGCAGCACUGCCCAAGGCAUUACUGCUCAAAGUGAUACAGCACAAUACGUUACAAUACAAAAAAAAAAUUUAUACUUUAAAUUAAUACAGAAGAAAUAUUUUUAACAAUGAAUUCUUAUGCAGGGGGCAAAAUGUAGAUACUUGAUUUUGGUUAAUACUGUUACUCUAAAGAAUUAUGUUACAACAUAAUAUUGUACAGAGAACAACUUGAACAAGUGAAGUGCUACUUCACGUAGAAUAACUAGAACAAGUGAAGCGUUAUUUUACGCAAAACAACUAGAACAAAUGAAAUACUACUUAAAACAGAACAAUUAGAAUAAAUAAAGCACUACUCCAUAUAGAACAACUAAUACAAGUAGAAUAGCUACUUCAAAUAGAAUAAUCACUUCACUUGGGUGACAGUGAAAGUAACUCUGAAUAAGUGGCAGAGUUCAUGAGUUACUUUCAUUUUGGGAUGUCCCGGAGAGUUUGGCUUGCUAGCUUAAAUAUGGAGGUAGUUAAGAGGUCUUUCUUUUAACCUUUUCCUGAAGUACAAGUGUUUCACCUUCUUACCUUGUUCUCGUAUACCUAUUUAUGUACAGCUUAUUCUCUUGUACCUAUUCUCGUACAGCUUCUUCUCUUAUACCUUUUUCUUGUAUAUCUCUUUUCUAUUACCUUUCACUUGAGAAUAAAUCUUUUUACAUUUAAUUACAGUAACGGUUACUCACAUUUAUAUUUUUCAUAAUAAUAUCAUUUAUUAGGCGCAUUAAAGCUUAUUCUUGAGUAACUGUCACUUUUAGCACUAUAUAUAGAGCCUCACAAUUCAUUUAGAGGGGCUCUUUCUCUCAUAACUAACACAUUCUCAGCUUGAGAGGUUCUCUCUCUAAAUUCUCUCUCUAAUUCUUUUCUACUCUUUAGUUCUCUUCUUACUUUAUUCUACCUGCCACUCAGUACUUCAGGAACUACUUCAAUCUUUCUCUCUGCCGCCUCCGACGCAUCCUUUUACUUGUUUGUAACGCUUUCUCUCCCUAUCACAAGAACUCCCUUUACAACAGACGAUGGAUAAAGAGAUUCGGCUCGUCUCUUUUUUAUUUUUGAACAAGAGAGACCAGUUCAUGGAUAGAUAAGAAACCACCUCAUGAUAUAUCACAUCAUUCAAUAUAAAAAAUGAAAAUUUUAACCUCGUUGGCAUUUUUGAUUGCGGUUCUCUUUUCUCUUUGCUUAAGCACAAACCCGUACGUAAAAUCUGAAAACCCGCAAAUGAAGCCACUAACCAACUUGGAUCUAGGAUUCAGUUUUUAAUUUGCAGAAAAAACCCCAUAUCUCUUUAUUAAAUUCUCAAGCUCCUUUUUUCUUUUUGGUCCUUCUGUCAACCCCUUUUCCAACGAUGAUGUAUGUGAUCAAAGUUUUUUUUUUUUUUUUGAAGAGCCAAAACGACAAUCAAAAAGUAAUUUAGAGGAGCACUAGAAUUUGCAGAUGGAGUCCCAAAUCUUAAGCAGCGAUAGUAUUUUUUAGUUGUCUAGGCCCAUGAGUCACUAUGAACGAUGUCAAACAAAGUUGUUUGAUUGUUGCAUGUUUGAAAUUCUUAUGAUGACAUUGAAGGAAAGUGAUCUUUGCCUUAUCAGGGUUAUAUGGGUUUAGAGGUGCCACAUUUUUUUGUAAGUAGCGCCAUAGUGUUCUACCGUCUAGCUGAGCUCUUACUGUCAUCAGAAGUCUUUUGUCGCUUUUCUAUGAGACUUUAAGUGACAUAAUGGCUGCAGUUAUUAAUGAAAGUUUCUUUAAGCCUAUCAAACAAAGAAAAAAAAAAGGUUGCUGGCUGGAAGCAUGGAAUUCUGUCAAGGCUAUUACUUUAUGAUCAGAUCGAAAAUCAAGAAGCACGAGUCACGGGAAUCUGUGUUUUGGGUUUUAGUUUUUUAAUUUGCACAUGAGAUGUGAGCAGAGGUAAACACAAUGAACAAUAAUAUUACUAAAGCUACUAUCAACCAAAAAAUAGUUUUAGCAAUUUUUUUGAGACUUCUAGAAUUUUCCAUUCUUAUUUUUUCUAACUACCGGCAGGAUUUGAAGAGGAUAUAAGUUAAAAAGAAGUCUUAAGAAGUAAAUAGAGUUAUAGAGAAAAAGAAAACAGAUGAUUAUAUGUCUGACAAUCCAAUGUACUUUAACAAGGUAACUACCUUGAACAGCCUAAGCUUAGAAUUGCUUGAUGACAUGGUGUAUUUAGAGCCAUAGAUUUCAACUCUAGCAAGAUGGUGUCUCAUCCCUAGUCGACUGGAAUCUCCAGUUAAAUUUUCAACCGGCAGUUCUUGUUAUCUAAUCAGUGCCUUUGUGCAAACUUCACAAAGGGAUGAUAGCAACCGGUAAAGCACAUCAAUAUACUAUUCAAGUACUCAAGUUAGCAAGUGACACACAUGAUAAACCAGUGAUUCUGGUGAAUUACUGUGGUUCAAGGUGGCAGCGCACCAGUGGAGUCAAGGUGGCAAGUCAAUCUUCAGACUCCAGAAGCGCUGAUUGGCAAACACAAAAGAACUAAUAUUAUUGGUAGGAUCCCAAUUCAAUUCUAUAGAUAACCCAAAAUUGAAAGAGAUAUAUUAGUUAGCUUUAUUCGUGUGAAGAUGAAUUCACACUCUAUUAUUCUUCUUGCCAUAAAAAUAAUGUCUUCGCAUGAAUAUUAUAUGAUUAUUAAUUUUGAUCUCAUUGUAGCAAUACAUUAACAAAAACAAAUGAUAAAAUGGAUUUUUCCGCAGGGGAGGGUGAAGUGAUGUUGAUACUUGAUGGAUUUAAUAGUCCAGCCGAAACCAGGACAAUAUGAACAGUUGCAUAACUUAAAGGGUACUUUAACUUACUUGUUCACAUCAGGAUGAUAAUUCCUGGCAAGCUUUCGAUAGGCUGAACAUGGAAAGGGUAUAAUCAGUAAAAAUAAAUCAAAAGAAAAUAUAUUUAUAAUUCUAAGUUACAUUAUUAUAAUGGGUGAAGGAACUAUUACAAAAGGGAUUCUCCCAGAUACUUGGUAUGUAUGGCUCACUUAGCAAUAGGAACAUAAUAGGGAUUGAACUCGCAAUCAAUGACUCUUGGAAACCAUCAAAUUAGAGCCCAAGGAGAGGUAAAGUAAAGGAAAAAGAGAGAUUUAACUGGAUCCAUUGAUCUAUAAGCUUUCAAUGAGUAUGAUGACAGUAAAGUAUGCAAGGUGAAGGGAAAGACAACUCCUCCCACUGCAGAAUGCAUAGAAUAUUUGUCCAUAGAGUUACUAUGAAAGGAUAGUGACUAUUCAAGACAAGCUGUCUUCAAGGCCAGGAAUGGUAGAUAAAUAUUCAACUCUACCGUAUGAUGAUGUAUGGUCAAGACUAGAGCUCAGUUAAAUAAUGAAUGUGAGAUUGUUCCACAAAGACUCUAGUGGAGCAGGAAGAAAAAUUAGGGGAAGAUGGUGAUACACAGACCUCAAGGCCAGUCACAAAAAGAAAAGGCCAUCAUAUGUGCCAUGCAAAGUGAAAAAUAGACACAUAAGGUACAAAAAUAACAGACAACAAUGAUCAGGGUACUGUAUUCACCGCUUUUUAUGUCUGAUUUGCUGGCACUUUUAGACACCCCAAGGAUGGAAUAAUAAUCCUGCAAGAACAUAUUUUGAAUGAAAUAGAUAUGCAUGCAGUUUGGAAACAAAAUACCAGAAAUCAGGGGAAAAAAGAACCACCAGGAAGAAAGACAACAGAACGUCAGUUGUUACCAUAACAAUAACUGUACUGAAAAAGGAAAAUUGGAUGAACACUCACCUGAGUAGCUUUGACAAUCAGACGCCUUGCCAAGUGGUGACAUGGCCUUUUAGAUGACGGUGAAUGGAAUAAAGUAUGGGUCAAAUUUUGAGAAAAAAUGCUUGAACUUGAAAAUGAUAAUGCUCUUAUCUCAGUUAACACAGUGCAUAAUAGAACAGAACACAAUAAAAUGAUGAUCUAAGGGAAAAAUCAGCAUUGAUUUUUUGCAGAUAAGAACACAUCAUCUGGAAGACAAAAGUUGCAGCUACUAAAAAAAGGAAUUAAAAAUUUUACUGCUAAGGGAAAGACAUUUAUUAAAAGAUGUUUUAGUACAUUUAGGAACGUAGUACCAAAAAACCUUAAAUAUUUUCCUUUUAAAAUGAUGCUACUACUUUCUAUCCAAAAAACUAAAACAUGAUCAAUAUACACGAAGCCGAUUCUUAAACCUUUAUGGAGAGAAUCUCACCGUCCUUGAGGUAUCCGCAAUUUGUUUGUAUUAGAGCUUGACAUAAAUUGACGUCGGAAUCCUGACCAAGUCACCGUGGUGUUCGCCAUACAAAACUCUGUAUCAAGGAAUCAAGACUUAUCAAAUAGUUUAUAUUUUGCAGUUUUGCCAACACCACACAAAGAAUGUCGCCUUCGCAUGUGCAGUUGGCAUACAGUACACCGGAGAUAAGAGAAAACAAACAGUGAAAGGAAAAUGAUCAGGACAAUCUUGCUAGAAAAGCAAUCAAGACACCCAAAAUCUUAAAUCUUUUAGACAUGUAGAGAGCAUUGUAGAUUACAGAAACAAAAAGAUGUAAAGAAGAUGGGUUAUUUCUGAUGGACUAACCCGAAACUGCCAAAUAUAGCCCUUCUUCUCAGUUUUCGGGUUUGGGUUCCGCUGUUGGUAUUGAAUUAUGCACUGCGUGCGGUGCGGCGCGGCUCCUGUCCUGGGGCAGCUGUGGGUGUGGAGGGAAAGGUUUGAAAGCAGAGAAACGUUUGCUUAGUUACAUGUAAAACGGCUCCGAUACCAGCCUGCGGAAGACAGGAGUGUCUUCUAGAAACUGUCCAUACCUCUACAUUUUGCGGCAGCAUAAAUUUACAUAUUAUUAUAUUAUUUAUUACUUGUAAAUUCUAUAUUAGGCAUGUUUUUAUAAAUCUAUAAUACUAUUUAAAACUAAUUUUACUUUAGUGACACUAACACAUUGUGGUAAAUAAUUAAAAUUAGAAUUUUUGCAUACUCAUUAGGUGCGCGAGAAAUGAAAAAGCAAAAAAAAAAAAGAGUUUUUGGCAACUAACAAGGUAGAUUUUUAUAUGUGCAUGUAAAAUAAUUAAAAAAUUGUACCCACUUAGUAACUUAAUGGAUGUGCAAAAAUCCAGUAUAAAAUGAGAUCAUUUCACCUACGAUUUUUUAGCUACAAUCUUACAUUUAUUUAAUUACAAAAUAUGAGUUAUAAGUAUGACUAUAUAUACAUAAUAUUUUAAUGGACUGUCAUAAAGGUUUGGAGGAUCCUUAUGGGGAGGAAUUGAAAAGGAGGACCGAGGGAAUGGCGGGAAAUGAGGAGGCUUUGUUUGGGUUUAUGAGAGAUUUGGGUGGGCAGUGGUGUAGUAGGAGAAGGAAGAGGAGGAUUGUUAAUGCUAGUAUUUUAGGAGACUCGUUGCCAGUGGGGUGGAAGCUUUUGUUGGGGUUAAAGAGGAGGGAAGGUCGCGCCUCGGUUUAUUUCCGUAGAUACCUGAGGUGAUUACUUGUUCAUUUCUUUGUAUGUUCUUUUAGUUUCACUGCGAUUGUGAACAAAAAUUUUAGUAGUUUUCUUUAUUGGUUUUUUUAUAUUAAUUAAUCAUAGACACUUAAAUACUGAUUUUUGGCAUCUUUAUGAGUUAUGAAACAGCACUUUCCUGACUAAUUAGAGAUUCAUAUCAUGCAUAAACUUCAAUUUCUCUCUUAGGCAUUAUCUUUCCCUUUUUUUUACAGUCCUGGUGGACGGUAAUUUGUAUCAUGUAAAGAACUUUCUGCGUACUUGCAAUCCUACUUUGGUGGACUCCAUGAUGCACAUCUGACGUUGGAUAAAGAUGGUGACAUUGCUCAGCAGGUCCAUCAAAUGGUUUCUGAAAAUGUAAGUGAGGUUUGUCUUAACUUUGGUUGAACCCAUGACAGAAACUGGAAUACUUAACAUUGUUCGAUAUGGUCAUGCAAUAGCAGGGAGGUAUCGUCCAGAAAGAGGAUGAUCGAAGGCGGUCUGAUGAACAUGAGAAGGAAGUCAACUUGCUGGGUAUUGAUAACCUGGCGGAAGUUCAAAUACAUGAUCUUUUUGAAUGCCAUAAAUGCAAUAUGACAUUUGAUGAGAAGGAUGCAUAUUUACAGCACCUUCUGUCAUUUCAUCAGAGGACUACAAGGAGGUAUAGACUUGGUUCUUCUGUUGGGGAUGGUGUGAUACUUAGAGAUGGAAAAUUUGAAUGUCAAUUCUGUCAUAAGGUAUUUCAUGAACAUCGUCAGUACAACGGUCAUGUUGGGAUACAUGUCAGGAAUUAUGUGAGAGGAAUUGAAGAUUCACCUGGUUUACUGACUCUUCCAAGGAGAACUGAGGUUGCAACUAGGCAAGAGUCGGCCCCAAGGAUCUCUAAGAUGGAUGCUUUAAUUGAAAUUGAGCAGAAUUCUAUUCUUGAAACUACUACUACUGUGCCUAGAUACGAACUCAAUGAUGGAUUAAGUCCUGAUAAAUUGAAUGCAGCUUCUAAUCCAGAAAUUCCUGCUUCUACUUCCGAUCAUGAAAUGAAUUCUGAUUCUCCUUUAAGUGAAUCUGGAACAGAGGAUGACAUGACUUAUAGAUCUGUGAAUAAAGAUUUAUGUCAACAAAACAGUGAGCCUAUGAUCCUUAAUGAAAAGACAGGGAAGACUGAUGAAGCUAGCAAUGCUGUGAAUAUGGAUUCUCUUGUGGAUGCUACAAUUUCUGCAUCUAUGGAUGAGCAAAAUGGUAGUAUAUCUGAAACUUUUGUCCGGAAAGAUAGUUUAACCUUUCAUGCUGAUGAACUCAACAAGUCUUGCAGUAAGCAGCAAAGAAGUUCUGAAAGCAACUUACUUCUUCUCUCCACCGGCCAGGGUCUCUGUGAUGUUAAGAAUAAUGUCAAUUUAGUUGGUGCUGGUGCAAGAGAGCAUCAUAAACCUGAAGAGGUGGAUAACAAUGAGAAUGCUGAGUUAGAUAUUGGUUUUGGAAACGGUUGUGGGCCAGCUGAAGAUGUUGCACCAGAGACUAUACAUCAAACAUCUGAAGAAAGUGUACUUCAGGCCGAAGGGUCUGACUCAUCAAUGUCCCUAUUGCAACCUCUAAAUGGUACAUUGGCAUCAAAUGCAAUCUCAGAUAAGGUAUAAAGCCACUGUUCUGUUUUUUGGUUGCUUUAUUAGUUACAAUGUGGUUUAAACACUUUGUAGAAUGUUGUGAUACUCACUUAAAUCCUUAUACAUCUCCAUUUCUAGAUAGUUAUCAUUUACAUUUUUCUUUUGCUGUCCAAUUUGACUCAGUCUGGUUGCAUAGUUGCCAUUGAUAAGCUUUCCUCAUUAAUUCAUUACAUUGGUUGAUCUGGUUCAUCAAAAGUUUUAGUUGGUUCCUUAUUGCUUUUCUUAUGAUUAGUUUCUAAAUGUUGUUUAUAAUUUUUUUUAACUAAAAAAAAAGUUAUCUCUAGAUUGGAAAGAAGAUUGUAACUUUUUAGUUUAUUUUAUAUUUUGCCGUAGACACUAAAUAUGGUUGUGCAAUGUGACAUAGUUAUUGUUUUAUUGUUAUGACAUUGUUUUGCUGUUAUGAUACAAAUUUAAACCAUGCAUUGAUGUUUUUAUUUAUAUGCUAAAUCUUUUGCCCAUAAUAGUAUCACACUAUUGCAGUUUUAAAUGUCAUAGCUUUCUUACAGAUGUUAGAUCUUCUAGGUAAAAUGGUUGGCUGAACUUAUUUCACCAAAGAAAUUAGUUUAAUGAACUCCAUGUGUAUUUGCAGGGAGAAGAUGGUUUAUGCAGCAUUGAUCGGAAGCAUGACAAUGUAACAGGAUUUGAUGAGCUGAGGUUGGAUGAAAUAGAGCAGAUAAAUUUAAGCUUUGGUGGUGUACAAGAAUCUCCCUCGUUGCCAGAGGUUCCGGUAGAUUUGGCUAAUAAUCCAGAUAUAGGAGGUGCUUAUGGUUCCUCAGUUCAGUUUGAAUCAGAAGCCUUGUUAAAUAUGGCUGGCAAGCAUCAGCUUACAACUGUUUGUGUGUGGUGUGGAACAGAGUUCGACCAGGAGGCUAUUGAUUCUGAAAUACAAUCAGAUUCGGUUGGUUACAUGUGUCCGACCUGCAAGGGCAAAUUUCUAGGCAACUCAAUGCAUUAAACAGUGGUUCAGCCAUGCCCUUUGUUUUGUAUAGAAGGAAAAAUAAAAAAGAAAAAGAAGAAAGAAAAAAACAGUGGUUCGGCUAUGAAUUAUCACCUCUCAGUCAAGCCUUUCAUAUUUGAGUUUUAGAACAGGAAUUACUUGAUGUGGGUAACUUCUAUUAACUUUUUAAUUGCCUAUUGCUGAGCCCUUUGUUAUGUUUUUCCUAGCUAUUGACUUUGUAUGGCUUCUGGCUGCUUUGAUAUAUGUAUAUAUCUUCUUAGAUAUUGGUAUGUCUUAAUUUGUUAUUGUCUCUUAUGCAAGAUUUGUGCAAGUGGUUAGGUUAUGUGAAUUAGAGUAAAAAGUUAACUCAAAAAUAGAGAUAAGGGCAUAAUAAUUACAGUAUCUUGUGAAGUAAAAUGAUAGAUAAAGUACAGGAGUAGAAUUUGGGGCAGAAUAACGAAUAUGAUAAAGUCUUUUUAUUCAGUGAUCUGUUCAAAUAGCUGAUAUAUGAUAGGUUACAUGAAAUCUUCGUAGACAUUAGGGGUUCAAGAAAAGUAGCAGUCUGGGGUUUGUUUUUGAUUGAAGAAAAAAUUUCAGGGCCCGUUUCUCAACUAGGAGUGAAGCAGCCUAGUCGAGGGUCUAUUUGGUUUCUGGCGCGGUGGCAGCAGAUAUAAAUGCCUGCAGAAAUCUCAGGAAACCAACUAUUUUAUAAAGAGAACAAAUGGACAAUUAAGUAGCUAUCUUAGCAUCUGACAAUGCGCCACAAUCACCUAAGCAAGUCGUAGAUUCAUUAAGGCUUUAAUGGUAUAGUCUUUGUACCAUGACUAUUUUUCAAUUCAUAGAUUUUGCUGCAUACAUCACAUAUGAUCUGGUAAUUUGAUGUGAUCAAGUGGCAGCAAAGGUGGUAAUUGAUGUGUCAAAUGCAUCUGUUAUAAUUGAGGAUUUUUUGGAUAUAAAUAAAAAAUUAAGAGUUGGUUUGGAUAUGAUAAAAGAUUAGGAACUUAAUCAGAAAAAUGACCAAGGUCAGGGGCUUUGUUUGCCAUUCAUUAAUUAAAUACUAAAGGAUAGCAUAAUUUUGUUGACACUUGAAAUAUUCCUUGUACAACUUGGCAGAGCAUUGUCGACAUACAACUUGGCAGAGCAUUAUCGACUAUCUUAAGAGUAGGCCACUAGAAUCCUCGUUAAAACUGAGGGCUCAGCCUAAUUAUUAGUACUAACAACUGCCAAUCAUACUCAGCUAUGGUGGAUAUGCUCUUGAUCUGUUGUGAAGUUGCAUGCAUAUUACUACUGUAUCUGUAUUGUAUUUGUUUGACAUGCUCUUGCUAUAACUCAAGAAGUUGGUUUGUCGACUUGCAUUUCAGUGAAACCCGAAACACGAAAGAAUUUUGGUCUCAUGUUCUGGACAAUAACCUGGCUUCAACUUUCAUCUGUAACAUAUUUAACCUUUCUAACUAAUCUAGACUAGGUUGUCAUAUAUAUGUAGUAUAUUCACGUUCCACCGCUAUAUAACUGCCCGAACUUCUGUUGCUGUUUCAAAAGAGAUAAUAUAUCAAUAUCCUAACCAUUUGAUCUGUAAAGUUUCCUGUUUCCUUUCAUUUUGUUUUCUGUUAUACCAAUAUUAUACCUAUAUUAUGACAAUAUGAUUAUUAGUACUACUCUUUGGUGUCGGCAAAUGGAAGAUGAUGUCAAUUGCUUACAUGAAUCAGUGGCACAGUGAUAUUCGACUUGCCCAUCAAUUUGUGAACCAGAAUUAAACCAAAGGUACCCUCGGAUAUCUUUGAAUAUAGAAAAGCUCAUUUUGAGUUUGGAUAAGAUUUUUGAAAACCAAGAGCACUAAAAACAUUGUUAUUGGUCAAAAAAAAAAAAGAAAUGAAAAGAAGAAAGCUAUGAAAUGAAAUGAAUUGUAAGCAUUUGACCGCAUCGAAUUCAUGAUGGAAACUCCUCUAGUGGGAAAAGCAUACUAUCGCACGAGAUAAAGGCGUUCUCAUACUGAGAGAACCUUAAAUUAACGAAACCCCUUUUUUGAUUUUUGGGUAAAAAGAAGCACCACUUUACUACAAGAAAAGCAAUGCGAAAAGAAUUUGAAACAGUGACUAUUUCAAAUUCCUAAUGGGGAAUCUCAUGAAUGGAUGGAUGUCCAUUAACAAGACUUAAAAUGCAUUGUACUUAGCUCAGGGAAGUUCAAACUUAUGAAUGCUGAUGUGUCAUUAUAAAGAAAAAAUCAUAGCAUGACCCUCCAUACGACCUAGGGGUCUGCUUCGUGUUAUAGAUAUUAGUAAGACAAAAUAAAGAGAGAGAACAAAUGGAAAAAAAAUACAAUUAUAUAAAUCAUUAAAAUAUUAUCUUAUAGGUAAGGGUUUAGGAUUAAUUUAACCAAUGGGUACGUGAUCACUAAAUUAUAAAUUAAAAUUAGAUAAACAUAUGUAAUAAGUAGAAUCAGAGAAAGCAGGAGUAAAGCAGAAGCCUUAAUCUCAUCUCUGUAAAAAUAAAAUUAUAUAUAAAUUGAAAUAUGGGAUAUUUUGCAACCACCCCCAUGUGUGUAUUUUUCAGUAAGGUACCCUGUCACUGUAUGCUUCAUCUCUAAGACGAAGCAAGAAUCAGACAAAGCAGGAGUAAAGCAGAAGCGUUAAUCUCAUCUCUGUCGUAGCCGCAGAGUUUGAAAGGAAAACGCAUCUGAUUCUUGCUCUUUAUUCUUCAGUAGAAUAAAGAAAUGAAUCAGUGGCCGAAAGGUUAAAUAAAUAAAUCAAUCACUAAAGUUUCUAUUGGAUGAUCACAAAAGCUAUGGCUUCACCUUGGUUUAGAUUUUGAAUUCCUUAAGGUUGUAUAUAUGCUUCAGGAGCCUGCUCUAAUUAAUUUGUAUAAUCUCUUGAUUGAAUUAACGAAUUUUCUUUUUACUGUUUUACGAAUGUUAUUCAUUCAAUCCACCUUGGUCUGUCUUAAUUCGUCCAAAUGUUUGGACAUCAUUUGUUAAUCGAACGUUAAAAGUUGAGCAACUUGGGCUUAAUUCAGGAGGAUUGGAAUAAAUCACCUAAAGUUAUCCUUGUCUUUCAAAAACAAAAAAGGAAAAAGAAAGAGAGAAAGUCUCUAAAUAUCAAACUUAAGUCAAUCCCUUAGAAAAUGUCAUGAGUGUAUGAUGAGUAGAAUGAUUAGCUAAAAGUCUUGAUAUCAUUUAAGCCAAUCUUAUUAAUUAUAUCAUGGGUAUAUAAAGUAGAAUGACUAGCUUUUUAAUUAGUUUGGAGGCCAACCCAUAAUUCUAAAGGAAAAAAUAUUGUAGAAAACUAACAGACUAAAUAAUUAAGCAGGGAAAGUGAUCAAUAUUUGAACAUGAAAUCUCCGGCUGUUAUCUCAACUAUAUUUGAUACCUAAGGAAUUUAAUUUGGUAAUUUCAUUUACCAUCAAGCUUCUAAUAAAUUUACUCCCAGCGGACAUAAUUUUCUCUUUUAGUGUCGCAUGAUCCUAUGCCUUAUAAUAAAGAUAAAUUGGACUCACACAUCUGAACAGUGAGAAUUAAUGUAUUAAACUAAGACAAACAAAAAUAGCAAAGGGUCGGGGUCAAACCAUCUUAAUGGCUUGGGCAUCAGCACAUAAAAUAGUUUGAACUCAACCAAUAGAAUGAAGAAUCAUAAGAGAUUAUGAUUAGAUUACAUAUCUAAAUUUUGAAUUCUAAAGUUGUAAAUAUAAUAUUUUUAUAUAUAUCCGCGCAUAAUAAUAAGAUAAAGUUAGAAGCAAGGAAUGACGUAGUAGUGGCCCUUGGCCUUGUCUGGACCUUUUCUCUCUGUUUUGUUAUGUUCCAUUUAGACUUCAAAUAAUAAGUUUCCUCCCAAUCAGGCAGCGAACUUUUGCUCAGGCAGCGCACUUUUGCUCAGCCUCCAGGCUCGUAAAUGCUGCAGAGGCGAGAUGGAAAUUAAAAUCGUAUGUCAGCGUUGCAGGCAAAAGUUUGCAGCGACAACCAAUGCUGAGACAGUUGUUUGCCCACAUUGCCGUAAGGUCAAUCCAAAUCGAACGUUACAGAAACGAUCAUCUACCGGAGAACAUGGCAGGGUAAGUGCCCUGUUGGUAGGUAACUGUAUAAGGGAAACGCUGAAGAAAAUACUGCGGGGCAGCACCCCAAAACCUGCUGCUGCUUUAGGGUCAUCGUCCUCAACCAUUUCCUCUAAGCUUUGUGCUUUGGACUACACUGGCCCACGGGCAAAUAAACGUGCACUUCUUUGCGGUGUGAGUUAUAAGAAGUGGAAGUAUAAGCUCAAGGGGACCAUAAACGAUGUGUCAAAUAUGAAAGAUUUGUUGACUCAAUACUAUGAAUACCGGGAGGAAAACAUUCUAGUGCUCACAGGUAUUUAUCAUCAGCCUUACUGGUGUUGUGUUUUAGUAGAUGUAGGAUAAGUAUGAAACAGAGCAAGUGAAGAUAGUUUUUGUUAUAACAGUAGGCUACAUAUGUCUGAUAUGCUUUGUUAUAACAGUAGGCUACAUAUGUCUGAUAUGCAUUGACCUAGAUUAUAUGCAUAGCAAAACUUAACAAGUAAGCCUUGAACAGUAGCUAAGCAUAAGAAUACAUACUAAUCAUCACAUAAGUCAUUCCCUAGAUGCAUACCUACCAUAAUUUGACUGAAGGCUAGCUGUUUGAAUGCAAAAUGGUCACUUAUGAUCUUAAGGUUAAUAGCAUGAACUGAUGUAGUUUUCAAUGCAAGUCCUAUUUCAACAUCAGGCUUUAGCUAGCUUGUGUACUUUAAGUUGCAUUAAUGGUCAAAGAUAAAGCUUCCUUUUAACAAAUUUUGUUGUACAGCUGAAUGACUUUUCCCUUCUAACAUUUAGAAAAUGGAUUGGUAUUUGAGCUCACCCAAUGAAAAAGCAUUCAUUUUAUAGAAGAUGAAAAAAACCUUUAUAAUUCCUUAUUGUAUCUAAGAUUGAAGUAUAUGUAAUUAUCCAACGGUUGAUGUAAUUCUAUAUGUCCACACCAUUAGCUGCGAAGACUCAUAUUAGAGUAAAUUUGGGAUAGGGAAUAUAGAAUAUCUUAGAAAAUAUGACAAAUAUAUCUUAAAUUAUAUCUUUUACGAAAUAUAUGGAUAUCAAAUAAUUUAGUACUAUGCAAACAUUUGAUUCACUAAUAGGUACUUAUAUUCUCAUGUUUUAAAAACUAAAUUCGUAUUUCUUUAUUAUGUAAAUUUCAAACUCCACCUAUUAGGACGUCAGUAAUUUAUUUUUUUGCUCAAGUUUGACAAAAAAUGUUUAAUGUUUUGAACAUUUAUUAUAAUAAGAUCAAUAUAUAUAUACACACACAUUUGUAUGCAUCUAUGUAUGUUACAAGGCAUUAAUUAAAUUUUUGGGGCUUGUAAUGGAUUAAUACUCUUUGAGGUCUUUAACCCAAUUCACACCAGUACUUUCUCAAAUUUUUUGUAACUUCAAAGUGAAAUGAUUAAAAAUAUAUUAGAAUUCGAAUCAUAUUUACUUUAUAAUGGUAAAAAAGAAUGAAGCUGCAUGAGUGUCAUUGUCUCAUGCCAUGUAUAUAUAUUUAACUGUUAGUAUAUAUUGAUGUACGUUUGAUAUAAUUUAUAGAAAUGAAAUAGGGUGAGAAUGAAAUAUGAUUUUGUUUGACCCAUAGAAUAAAAUAGUGAUAGAAAUUUGAAUAGCUAUUUUGUUAGUUUGGUUUCUAGCAUGUAAUACACACAAAAACACACACACACACACACAUAUAUAUAUAUAUAUAUAUAUAUAUAUAUAAACUAGCAAUAAUAUUAAAAUCUUGUUGAACUAUGAUGUUGGUUUGAGGGCAUGGACCAACUCGGAGUUGCUUAUUUUCAUUCGAAAUACAUCCAGGGAAUGAAACUUAAGUAUUCAACUUAUUCAAAGGGUGAAAAGAUUGUCAUUCUAGUGAACAAAGAGCUUGUCCUGUCACUUAUUGAAAUGUUAUAAGCAAUUUCUCAUACUAUCAACGAAAGCCGAAUUGAUCCCGUUAACUUUUUAAAAGCAAUCGAUAAGUCAUUACUUAAUUUGAAUAAUUAACAGUGCUCUAUAUCUAUUCACCAAACUGCAGAGGAACAGACAGACCCCCGACUUAUACCAACAAAGGCAAACAUCGAGCAUUGCUUGAAAUGGCUGGUGGAUGACUGCCGGUCAGGAGAUUCGCUGGUGUUCUACUACUCGGGACAUGGCUUACGCCAACCCGAUUUCGAUAAUGAUGAGCGUGAUGGGUUCGACGAAACCAUCUGCCCGGUGGAUUUUCUGAGAGAAGGCAUGAUCCUCGAUAAUGACAUCUAUGCCAUCAUUGUUAAGCCGUUGACAGAGGGUGUCACGCUUCAUGCCAUUGUUGAUGCUUGCCAUAGUGGAACUAUUCUUGAUCUAGAGCACGUCUAUAAUAAAGAAAAGUGAGUUUCCACAUACUUAUAAAUGUCCUAAAACUGAUUGCUGCCAUGCUAGUAAUUGUACAUAAUCAGAUUGGAGAUUCUUUGCUCCGGGGGGUUAAUGGCAGGGAAAAGUGGGAAGAUAACAGUCCUCCAUCAGGUGUGAGAAAACAGACAAGUGGUGGAAAAGCAUAUUGUAUCAGCGCUUGCGAAGAUGACCAGGUUGCCGCUGACACAUCUGUGAGAGAUUCCUAAUUCCUUUUAUUAUGAUUCUUUCUUUCUAUUUGAUUUUAGACUACAAUUUCUAAAAAUAAUUUGUUUUUUUUUUAAAGCAAACAAUUCCUGGUAAUAGUUCAUCAACUAUUUGUGCAGGCUUUUAGUUCCAAGUCAAUGAAUGGUGCAAUGACAUUCAUUUUAGUACGAGUUGUCAGAGAAAAAUCAAGGAUAACAUACGGUGAAUUACUUAACGAGAUGCAUGAGCGAAUUAAGGAAGCUAACAAACAAGGAUGCCUGGGUGAUUCAAGAAUAUUGAGUAGAAUAUUUGGCCCCAAUCUCACACAGGUAAUCUCUCCCUUUAAAUAAUUUACCUCAAGCACUCUAGACAAUAAAUACAAAGGUUUACAUUUGAGAAUUUAACUCAAUGAUAAGUGCAAAUAUCGAUUUGUAUGUUAUAAAAAUUGAUAUUUCUUAAAUCCCCAGAUAAAAGAAAAACAUUCAUAUGCGUGUAUUCAAAUAUUGCUAAAAAAAUUAAUGAAAUUAUUAUAUAUAGGAUUAUUAAUUUAUUAUACUACAUAUAUAUAUAUAUAUAUUUAUGUAUGCAUAAUUAUAGUUAUUUCAUUCCUAUACAAGAGAGAACAUUAUGAUUAUUUGAAUCUAAAUAAUAUCCUUAUCCUCCUACCACACUUUACUUUUACCUGAAGUAUUGCUAUAUCAUAGUUAAUUAAAAAAUUUAUCCUAACCUUAAGUAUUGCUAUAUUAUAGAGCAAAAUUAUACACAUAAAAAGUUACAAAAAGUUGUACUCUUUUUUCUUAUUCAUGUAAAAGUUUCUUAACAUAUAUUACUGUGGCACUGGUUUUUUUCUGAAUGUAUACAGAAGCCUCUACUUUCAGCUUCUGAAGAGUUUGACAUUUACCAGAGGCCAUUUAAACUAUAACUGUACGUAGUGGAUCCUAUUAAAGCAACGGGAAGUGUAACGGAUUUUUCCUGGAGCGGUUUGAGAGCAGAAGCUUUCUAUUCAUUGCUGAUCUUCAAGAAGUACUCUGAUCAUCAACUCAUGGUUGAAGGAAACCUUUGCUCAAAGUACACUCCUAUCGGUUCCCUUGGCACGAAAACUGAAAUAAAAUAUCUGAUGACGAGUGUUUUUAUUGUUCAAAGAAUAGUUACCAGGAAAUAAACAGUUUAGAAGAUACCUAUUCAUCAUCAAUAAAAGAGAUGAAAUACGAGAGGAAAAUGAAAAGAAAUACUGAAGAGGACCGCUGCUAUACCAAAUGGUUUUCAUUUGUCUUUGUUUGGCUGGUGCCAAGAUCUUGCCUUGUACAGUUUAGAUGUAAGAAAAAAUUCAAAAGGGCUAAUUAUGUUUUGUGUCUAACGCUUGACAAUUUGUAACAUUUGAGUAAAAUUGUCUAUGAUACCUGUAAAAAUGUCCGUGUGAAGUGUAGGAUUUGUGAUAAAAGAAGUUCAUUUUGUCAACCAACCUGCUCUUACUCUGUAUCUCUCCAAUAUGACAACAAUCACGAUUUUCUCAUCAUAAUUGUCCUUGAAAAAGAAAAAAGAAAACCCCGUAAAAUCUUCCAUAAAUUCUAUUCUGGUAAUUUGGAGUAGGAUUUCUCUACUCCAAAUCCCAUUUCUCUAUUAAUCAUGCAGACUUAUGACUCUGGACAUGUUACUCAACCAUUCAAAAAACUACUCCCAGGAGGGGGAAGGAGUGGGGGAGGGCUAGGUGGAAGUAGUUGGGAUAAUCUCAUGAUGCCCUUUGAUGGAGUUGGGUUGGCUGCCUUGAGGAAGGCAGGGAUGUGAGGAUUUGAUUAAAGAGGGGGACGGGUUGGUUUGUAGGUGUGAGUUGAUGGAAUUAGAGUGAUGAUCUGAAAGAUCUGAUGUUGGUGCUCACUUAGCUUUUGUAUUUUCGAUGUUUCCAUAGUGGGUGAUGGAUGCCAUGGAAGUCUCUGGUCAAUCAGGCGAGAGACUUGAAAUGGCAUCCUCAUAUGGGGAAGAAAUAAAAACACUUUUCAUAAAAAAAAAGGAGUGAUGAUCCAAAAGAUCUGAUGGUGUGUGGCUGGCCUUGGUUAUUUCAUUUCAGGUGCGACAGCUCUGUCAUUUUCUGUGUGAUCUAUGCUUACCACGAGGGACUAAGGGUUCAAAAAGUGAAUGGGGUUGAUCUGAAGGAUGGUGGGACUUAAACCCGAAUCAAGAGACUGGUUUGAUUGAUGCUGCCAGGCAGGUUCCCAGUUAUGAAACCUGCACUAGGCCUCCUUUUUGAGUUCAGGCUGUUAGUCUUUUGGUUCUGGCGUAUUUUUUGUUCACGGGGGCUCGGUUUCUCACGUAAUUGAUGUGUAAGUGGCGGGGUUGGUUUUGAAGUGUAUGGGGACGAUGGGUGUGUUGCUCUUCAAGGUUUGGUGGGUAGGCAUUUCUGAUACCAUAGAGCUUGAAGAUUUUUUGAAGAAAGCCUACAAUCCCCAUGUGCGCGGACCAGAACCGACUGGACUGUGUGGGCUAUGUGCGUAAUGUUAGUUUUUUGUCUGCGUAUUAGUCUUGACAAGCAUGAGGAGUGCAGGGGUAGUUGGUGGACCAAGCAGAGAGGACUGUCGAAAGAGUGAGGUUGACUCCAUGAUGUGGUUAUGUUUUUGCGUUGGUUGUAUUUGCUGAGAGGAACUGGGUCUGUUAUUGUUUACCUGCCCAGUUUUUUGCUUAGGGGUAGGUCGCUGCGAUUUUUUGUUUGAUGCAGAAUUGGUUGAGUUUGACGAAAGCGGCCAAUACCUUUCUGAGCGGGGAAUAGCUUUUGUAAUUGUACAGAUCCUUUUUCGCCCAAACCAGAUGUUAUGCCAUAAGAAAUAGUCUUGGGCCAAAUAAAAAAAACAAAGGCAGGUGUGCUUAGAUCACGGGAUUUGCUGAAUGUAUUCCCUUGUCACUUCCUAUAUGCCGAGUUCUUCGUUCUCUGGUGUAACUGCUGCUGGAAGUUGCAUUAGUGGAACAGUUGCUGUGUAUUCUUUUCUGAUCAUGUUUUUGGGUUUGAGCCAAUUGUGUGACUGCUUCAAUUGUGAAUAUUGCCAGUGUCCCGUGUGUGGUCUUCAACGGGUGGCGAAAUACAUGCAGCUUUUUCUUGUGGGUAUAUAUAUGUGAUCAUUUUGUGUUGUAAUUGAGACUGUUAGGCUGCAAUUAGUGUGGUUGUGCAGAUUUCUAGCAAUGUUGCGUAAAAUUAAGCAAGUGGGGGCUGGCUAGUCGUACCUUUAGAAUGUGCUGUAUGGAACCUGUACAUAUUGGUCUGGUAUGGUCCAAUUUUGAUGGUUUUAAUUAGGUCGAUAUGCCCUGUUGGGUGUUAGGCAUAAAGGCUUGAAAUCCUCCUUUAAUUUGUUCCUUGAACAAUCAACGUAUAAUAACAAUCAACGUUAACCUUUAAAAGAAAAAGCUGUAAAAGAUUAGCAACUAUACCAAAAUUAUGCUUACUUGCUUAGUAUAUACAAAAGAGAGAGCAGAAGUUGACGUGAGAGAAAAUUUUAAUUUAAUAUUAUUUAUAUUGUCUAUGGUUAAAGAAUAUGUAUCCUAAUUAUUACCAAUGUAUAUUAUAUAUGGAUGAAUGUGUUCUCCAGUUUAAUUACUUGUGUUAACCUACACUAUAGGUCAAGAUUGACAAGCGAUUCCCUUUGGAUGAGGUGCACUAUGGAUCAGACAAAAACUCAACAGCAAAUAGAAGAUGAUAGGGUCGAGGUCAAGAUCGACAAGCGAUUCCCUUUGGAUGAGGUGCACUACGGAUCAGACAAAAACUCAACAGCAAAUUGAAGACGACAGGGUCGAGGCUAAUGGGAAUUUUGGGGGGAUUUUGUUUACAAAAUAUUAAUGGGAAUUACAUUUAAAUUUAUAAGUUUCAUAAAGGAAUGGUGCAAAAUGAACGCAAAAGUUAUAUGAAUUGAUCUGUAUAUAUGCACUAGCUAGCUAGAUGCAUGGCAUAUUGGCAUUUGGUUCUGUCUAGUACAGGAGGUGGUAUUACAAUCCUAAAAGAAGUAUAUUAGGCCAAAGGAAAAGAAGAAAAUGUCAAAGCAUUUCAAUGGACAGGUGACAAAUCACACAUUUUAAAUGGAUUUCCACUACAAAAGGGAAUAUAUUUCUCUAGAGAAAUCUUCAUGUUUUCUUUGCAUAUAUAUAUGUGUCUGUGAAGCAUAUGUACUUGUACUUGUUAAAGCUUCUCUCCACUAUAGUCGCUUAAAAGAAUGUUUGGUUUAAUUUAGCUGCAAAAACUCGUCAAACGUCUAGAAAAGCAAAAGUAAACAAAAAGAGUUCAGUUUAGUUGAUAUUUUGCUGUUUUAUUUUUUCUUAAAUUUCUAAACAAAAAGUAAAUGUUAUGUUUGAUUGCACAUAAGUCAAAAUUAUUUUUUAAAAAAUACAAAUUAAGAUUUUCAUCUUACUUUUACAUAUAAAAAAAUAAAAUUUAUUUAUUUUUAAUAAAUGAUUAUAAUUUUUUGAAGAAGCAAUUAAUGAUUAUAGUUGAUUAUUUUUAUUUCUUUUUUAAAUACAUGUGAUAUUUUUAUUAUUAUUUUUAUAUAAAAAAAGAGUAUCACAGCUUGAACUUAGUUAUUCUUACCCGUCUAUCUUUUAUCACUUGAGUUAAAUCCUCAACCCAGUGCCAAAAGGCUAAAUUCACUGUAUAGUUUUUCUGUGAUUAAUACAAAUAUUUUGUUGGUUGAGAAAAAAAAUUUACUAGAACUGUUGUUGUGGGAUUGGGACAGAUUUAAAUAAAAAUAAAAUAAAAUACUUAAAAGAAAUUUAAAACCAUAACAUAUUAUAUAUAAAAGCGAGCUAGAUUCCAAUAGCAUGUUGCAUAUAGGAUAGCAUAAAUCUUAGAACACUUUUUGAUGAGCACAUCAUGACACUUUCAAUAAUCAACUCUUUGUAUUUUCAGAUCAUUUUUUUUUAAAGGAGAAACACUUUGCACUUUACAGAUUGUGCUCUUCAAUUACUUGAUUUAUAUAUUUAUUAAUUAAUCUCAUUGUUAAUUUGAUGCUUAUAAAAGCCAAAGAACAGUCACCCACAUCUAUGAAUAAUCCUAGGGCUAACCGUGUAGAAAUAUAUUGGUUACCUUUGGUUCUUAACCGUAAUCAAGAUAUUCAAACUAACCCUCUCUUUUUCGGUGCCAAAACCUUACAGGGCAUCGGCAACAAUGGAAGCUGGACGAAAUACAACGUGCCAUCGGUGCAACAAAAGAUCAUUAGUGAAGGGAAGAAACAAAAGUCUAGGAAUUGAUUGUCCGUCGUGCAGCAACUUUUUUCCAAUUCCGAACGAGGAGCUGCAGACAAGCCAGCUCCAAGGAUUUCGCAGCCGAAUGAGACGUCUUGCCAGUCAUUUGAAAAGUAAGAUUCAUCAAGGAGCCGUAGCUGCUUCCUUAAAUCAUGAGCCCUCUGGUCCUAACCCGACAAGAUCCAGCAAGCGUGCAGUGCUUUGUGGAAUCACUUACAAUAAAUUGAAGUACAAGCUUAAAGGAACUAUUAACGACGUGAAAAACAUGAGAGAAUUGUUGAUUACUAGAUUUGGUUACCGCAGAGAGUGCAUUCGUGUUCUUACCGGUAUGCUAUUAUUGCUAGCUACUUAUUUAAUUACUAGUGUAAGUCUUCAUAUAUGAAUUAAUAUUGGCAUUAAUAUUAACUUUUCCCAUUUCGUUGCCAUGAUUCUAACUGCAGAAGAGGAGACAGACCAACGCUACAUCCCAACAAGGCAAAACAUCGAGGAUUCCUUGAGAUGGCUGGUGACUGACUGCCGGUCAGGAGAUUCACUGGUGUUCUUCUACUCUGGACAUGGCUUACGACAACCUGAUUUCAACAACGAUGAGGAAGAUGGGUUCGACGAAACCAUCUGUCCAGUUGAUUUUCCGAAAGCGGGCAUGAUCCUCGAUAGUGAUCUCAAUUCCCUCAUCGUUCGGCCGCUCAAGCCUGGUGUCACGCUUCACGCCAUUGUUGAUGCUUGUCAUAGUGGAACGAUUUUAGAUCUUCCAAAUGUUUACUUCAGUCUAGAGUAAGCUUCUCUAUUUUUUUCUGCUACAAUUUUCAAUUAGAAACGUAAUCAGCGUCCAAAUCAAUGCACAGAUAAAUCAUAUAAUAAAAAUAUUUAACAUGGUUAGACAUCCAUUGUUUACGUUCACGAAUGAGAGAUAAAAAAUUCACUAUGAAUGUAAAGAUUACAAAAAGAUACAUAAUAUUAAAAGAUUACAAAAAAUACAAAAUACUAAAAAACAACUGGUAAAUCUGAAUCUCGAAACAAAUUUAAGUUUUAUACUCACUAGUGUUUAACCCCAUGAAAUAUUCUCUAUCCUAUGUAAUCUUAUGUUUUCCCACACUACAAAAAAAUUAAGUUUUAAUCAUACUUGUUUAGAUGAUAUAUUUUUUUGUAUAUUAAAAUUUUCAAAAGUGCAACUAUUUAAAAUUUUAACUUCACUUUUUUCACAUUUAGUAACAAUAUAAAAAAGUGUAACCUUUAUUAUUGUAUGUAAUUCUUAUCAUUACAUUUUAUUCAUAAUGCAUUUAAAAUUUUAUAUAGUGAAGUUAAAUUUAUAAAAAUAUUCUAAAAAACAUAAAAAAAAGUGUUAUUAAAAAUAUUUUUAGUAGCACAUUUUAAAAGUGUGCUGUUUUAAGUUAAAUUUGUUGUAAUGUUACAUUUUUUCAUACAUCUUUAUAACUCUAUGAAAUUCACACAAAAAAACUAAUCUCUUACAUAGAGAUUACAUCUUUCUCUCUCAUAAGUUCAAAAAGCUAGGACUUAGAACAUAUUUAUAGAGCAAUACUGCUUUGACACUAAGAAUUUCUAUCCAUUAAAUAUAUUAAUCCUUUAAAUAAAUUCAAUUACCAAGUAAUUCUCAAUUAAUAGAAUUCCACGUAAAUCCAAAUUGAUUUUCAAUUAAAAUUUGAGUCAAAUAUCUAAUAAAUCUCAACCUUGACACAAAUUGUAUCAUUUGACGAAAUCUGGACUACACAUAAAGGAAUCAAUCCUGACUUCACCUAAUUCACACGACAAGAUCAAUACCCAUUUGUAGACACCAAGACAACUUACCCUUGUUGGCUUCAUAGAGGAUCCUCAUCAAACUUCUCUCAACAGGAUUUGGCUUUCAUUUGAGUCUGCAACAGAGACCCUUUUUUUUUAAAAAAAAAAAAGCUUGGUGGUGUAUAUUAAUUCCAACAAGGUACAAAAUGGUGGUGUGAGUCUCUAGCCUACAAGAAAGGAAAGAGACUUGUUGCUGAAAAGAACUCCCUCGAUUAGACUGCCAAAAACACAACCAGAGUCCAUGUAUCUCAGCUGCAAAAUCUAUAACACAUAGCACUCUAAACUUUUCAAGCCAAUUCCCUGUGUCUGUCACAUCACCUGCAGCCCGUGGUCAUCAGUGUAUCACACAUACUCUAGACCAUGACAACCUACAGACAACCCGUGGCGAAUACCAGCUUCCCUAACCCGUCGGUACAAGCUCCAACCCUUCUAUAUUUACAGGGGUUCACUACCUCUUGCUGUGGGAUUCACUGCUUUCCAAUCGUGGCCAUCCCCUGUUUAGAUUGAACCUGCCUUACCCUGCCAAACAUAAUUCAGCACUUCUCUGCACAUAAAUUUUUUAGACAUCAACCUCACCACCAAGUAACGAAGAAUUCUCUUCAAACAAACCAAAACUUAUCCAUCAAAUACUUAAUCCACUACCAUAAGAACGGGUGUGGACAUUGAAACAGAAUACACAUUAAUACAUCACAUGCCUUCAGCAAGAGCUGUACCGCCUACCAGCACCAAAAACUCAGGACUCCUUACUAACAGUUGUAACACCUCAACACCAAAAUCUCAAUUCCAUGAUACUUAAAAGUUGUAGCGAAUCUCCUUUUACAUGUCUCCGAUCUCAUGAUCACAAUCUGCCGCAACAAACCUGUCGAAUCAUCAUCUUUGCAUCUCUGCUAGUGCAUCAUGAUCACAUCAUGAUAAUUCUCAAACCAUAGUUCUGAUACCACUUAUUGAGAUUUUUAAGAAGAAAUUUAUUCAACUUCAAGAUCAACAUAUAUAUAAAUAAAUCACACGAGAGAUCAUAUUUAACAUGGUUUGGCACCUGUUAUCUAAAUCGACGUACGAGAUAAAAAAGAUCCAUUAUGAAUAUAGAGAUUACAAAGAGUGCAAACACCGAAAAACAAAUACUAAACUUGAGUCUCGAAACAAACCUUGUUUCUAUACUCACUAGUGUUUAAACUCAUGUAAUACAAUGUUUUCUCACACUUUUUCUCACAUCCCUAAAGCUUUAUCAAAACCCUUACAGAAAACAUAUCUCUCACAUAGAGAUUACAUCUUUCUCUCUAAUAAGUUUUAAAGGCUACGACUUACUCUACAUUUAUCAAGCCUUAUUAUUUGGUCGCCAAGAAUUCCUAUCAAUUAAUAACGCUUAUUCAUGAAGUAUAUUUACCCUUUAAGUAAACAUAGUCACCAAAUAAUUUGCAACUAAUAGAACUUUACCGGAACCCAAACUGAUUCUCAAUAAGAAUUUGAGUCAAAUAUCUAACAUUUUCUUACCUUCUCAAAGUAAAAGAAUUUUUGUUUUGUAAUACGGUAGUGGUAUCUCAAGCUUUAUCGGGCCUAACUCCUUCUUGGUCAAUCUUAAAGGCAUAUUCUCUCAUAGCAGCUUGGUGCAUUUAGGAUUUUUUUUCCCGAAAUGUUUCCAGGAAGUAUCUAAUCCCGACUGAUAAGGAAAGGGCUACUCUCUUUACCAACUGUACUAACUUGUGUUGGUAAAAUAAUAGAUAAUUUUAUUACUGUAACAAUUUAGUAAGAAAAAUGGCUCUUACUAAUUUAAAUAAAAUUCUUUAAUAAAAUUCUUUAAGUAAAAAUUUUGUUCAGUUAUCCAAUAAAAUAAUAGUUUGUGAAAAUUAAUAACUCAAAUUAAAGAGCUAAAAAUUAGUAAAAAAAUAAGGCUAUAAUUAUUUUAAUUAAGAUUAAUCUUAAGUCAGUAUAUAACACGUGACUUGAUUUAUUGAAGAAUUUUAGGUACUCAAGGAAAACACUCCUACCUAAAUUUUAUCUUGAAAAGAAUAUUAUUUUUUCCUACUAUAAGAAGAUGAGAUAAAUAUUCGGUUCUCAACUCAACCACAUUUUGAUACCCUUCACUUUAUUUGAUUGAGAUCAAACAGGAACAAAUGGAAAAAUAAUGGUCCUCCAUCGGGUGCAAACAAACGUACAGAUGGCGGAUUAGCUAUCUCUAUCAGUGCUUGUCUUGAUAACGAAGCCGCCGUAGAUACCUCUGUAAGUAAUAAUCUACUUAAUUAUUUGCUUUUAUCUUUGUCUAUUAACUGCCGCAGUAUAUUUAUAAGACUUCAAAACGUCCAAGUAAUUUGAUUGCUAAUUAGUGCAUAUUCCUAAUAAUAAUAAUAAUGGGAUGAUUUACGUGGCUAUUCAUGAAUGCAGGCCUUUAAUGGGAAGAUGAAUGGUGCUCUGACCUACCUCUUGGCGGAGGUUCUGAAAAAACUUCCGGGCCCAACAUAUGGGGACCUAUUUGAUUUAAUCCAUGAGACCUUUGAUAACGUUAAUCAAGGAUGCCUUGUUAAUACAAGAAUCUUAAGGAGGCUCUUCGAUUACAGAUUAUCACAGGUCGGUUUCUCUCAAAAAACACUAACAAAUUAAUUCUUCAAAUUUCCCCCUCCAAUAUCCAUCUGGAGUUUUCAUCUGGUUUACCUUUUUUUCAAUGCAUAAACAUACAAAACAAUUCUCAGGAAGCCUAAAUAAUGGGAGAAUUCAAAUUGCCAAAAGUUUCUGAUUUAGGAUUAUUUUCAUUAUGGCUUAAUUAAUUAAUUGCUUCUUAUAUUUGAGGAACUGAUUUCGUUUCCUUUUUUGUGAUAUCUCAUGGAUAGACGCCACUUCUUUCGUCUUCUCAUGAGUUUGAUGUUUACAAAAAGCAUUUGUUCUUGUAAGAGGCCACAUACUUGUGGAACUGAAGGGUGCCAAUAACAAGCGAGUCUACGCGGUAAUAGAUACCUGCGAUGACAUCCAGAGCUGUAAGCAUACGUGCAGGAAGUAUGUAAGCAAAGCAAUAAGGAGUAAAUUUGAGUUUUCGCCACCCAAUUCAGAGCUAUGAAAUCUUUAAACAAUAAACCUGGAGAAAAUAAAAGCUCAUUUGUGGGUGGCCAUCCAGAUGUGUGCCUAAUACAUUUAAUCUGACUUUGGAUUUUGUGUAAUAUCAAAUGCAUCGAAAAUAAUGAAUGUUGUAAAGUGUUGGGAUGAGAAAUUCAUCGUCUCUGUUUAUAUAAUUGCACUCAGCUAAUCUGAUAAAUCAUUUCUUUCUCACUUGGCAAAUGAAAAAGGAAAAGUAUAAUAGAACAUGCAUCCUAAGCUGGUACUUAAGGUCAUAAAGUAUAUAUAUCUAUCAAAUUAAGCCUUGGGAAUAGGGACUUUUCCACGGACAUAUCAAUUGCCAAGCAUAAAAUGCUCUUUACUAUGACACAUGCGUCUGUGACUGACAAGGAGAUCUGCCAACAGAAGAAGAAACUUUAUUCUUUACUCGUCACGUGGACGAUUCCAAAUUGCUUUUGCAAUUUCAACGUUCCUUGGAUUUUGAUUGAAAACUAAAUUCAUGUAUUUGGGGAUUGGGAGUGGAAAAUUCAUUUGAGAAUGCCUGGCAUUCGUCGUAGCCAUGGGAAACGCAUAUGGUGCGACGACUGAUUUGCAUAAAUUUAAAUGAUUUUAAAAAGGGGGCAAAAACAAAGAGAAUUUCUGACAAAGAUUCGCACGAUUGAUCGGACAAGACAAGUUAUUCCCCAAGUGGCAAAUGGUGUCCAAAUUGGAAAUUUGAAUGGAAGAAGCAUGCUACUCUCUUCUUUUGUCAAAGGUAUAGCAAUCAUGAUGAGUGGCCAUACAACUUUAUCGUCAAUGAUCAGGGUUUUUUUCUCCAUUAAUUCUUUUUAGAAAUUCUAUUGCACUGAAUUUCAAGAGUCUUGCGAUUGUUGAUUGGAAAUUAAAUGUAUCGUAUAAAUUGGGAAUAUAAGAUAAUAUUAAUAUAAUUUAAAGAUGGUAUAUGAUUUGAGAAUCUAAUUCUUAAGAAAAAAAAGUUAACCUUCUGGUUGAUUUGGAAUGUAAUUAAGACUCACAAGAAUAAUGGUUAAUUAAAGAAAGGGCUCACACAAUUAGCCACAACAUUCAUACACCUAAAUUAUGAUUAGAGGUUACUUUUGUAUACCGACUAUUGAAGUGAUGAUCAGAUUAAACAUCCUGUAUAGAUUCCUAAGACCCAACAGGACGAAUCUGAUUAAUAUUCUCUUCCAGUUCCUUGUAUCAUUAAUUUGUCAUGAUCUUAGCAUUUUUGGUCACCACUUAAGAUGGUAAUUUUUCUUUUUUGGUUUUUCCCUUUCCACUGGGAAAGAACAAAAAUUGAUUGUUCAUUCCAAUAUAAGAAAGCUUGUGACCGAUACUCACAUUGUACAUUGAAUAAUAGUAAAAGAAAGAGAAGUGUUAUUUUCCGAAGAAAGGUCGGAAAGUAAAAAGGAUACCAGAAGUCAAGAAUGACAUACCACGGAUAAAAUUAAAAGAAGGAUCAUAGUCUAGAUGUAGCCCAAAAAGAGGGAUGGAGAUAUUUGAUACCCUAGAAGUGAUGGUCCCUCAUCUCAAGUAGAUUCAUGUGUAGGGAUCUUUAGUUUUGUGAAUAAUAAUGUUUAGUUCUUAUAUACCCAGAAACAAAAAACAUGUUUAGUCUAGCUUCCCAGGCAUUCACCAGUUUUUCAAAAUAAAACAAUUGAUUAAAUUAAUUUGACAUUAGUGCCAAACUUUCUGGCAGGACUUAGGAAACAAAACUUCUCAAGUUACUUGUUUCGGAAUGAAGAGUUAUCCGGACUAAACAUAACUCCAUGAAGAUUUCUCAGAAGCAAAUCCAAAAAGUUUGACAGUAGAGAGACCAUAAUUCAAUCUCCUUUUAUCAUUACUGGAAUUGAUUUGUAGUUAUUGUUAGUGACACAACAACCUAGAGAUUAACAGGCCUCACAUGAUUAUGUUUAUGAUACAUGAGGAACCGUGCUUAAUUAAAAAAACAGUAAUUAAUAUUGAAGAACCCGAGGUACUCGUAAGUCAGCUCAAUUCUGUGAUGUAUUUCACAAAUUUCAGUCUAACAAGCUUGAGUUUCUCUCUCGAGAUGUUACCAUUAUCCAGUCUGGCUCUGUUUCGAAGAUCACAAUGGAUUACGAUCAAGUUGAUUUGACCAGAAAACUAGCAGACCACGACGAAUCUUAUCUGCAUACACAGGUGCAAAGAUAUUUAUUCCACUAAAGAAAAAAAGAAGCUGAAUCUGGUUCUCCACCAAUUUCCUUUCGGGAUCGAAUAUGUCUAAGAUCAUGAGAAGAUAAAUCUAGCUUACUCACCAGUCCUUUCACUAUUUCCACUCCACCCUUAAGGCCUUAAAUCUUCUUUUCUAUUGGAGAAACCAAUUGCCGUACUUUCAGAAACCACAAGCAGAGGCAAUGGCAAGAAGAGAACGAUGCAGUGGAUGUGGGCUGUACCUGCUGGUUCCACCAGAGGCACAAACUAUCCGUUGUGCCGUCUGCCAAGCCAUUACCAAUACCAACACGCAAGUUACCAGCAACAUUCGGCCCAAUGGCCAUUGGGGUCAUGUCCAUGACUCAUUUAUAGGACCAGGGUGGACCAGGUUUUCUUUCCUUUUUUUAAUUAGUCUUAUGCUUGUUUGUUACAGUCAGAUUGUUGACACAGUGUCCGGCUAAGUUAACAUGUGGCUGGCUUGGUUAUGAUAGCUAUCCUGGAGCAGGGACAUAUGGAAUUCCCUAUGUGUAUGCUCCUCAUCAGCGGCCUCCGCAGCCAACACCUUCUCUAUCUCCUGUUCCAGUGCACGGAAGGAAAAGGGCACUUCUUUGCGGAGUAAAUUACCAUGGCAAGAGUUACAGGCUCAAAGGAAGCAUCAACGAUGUCAAGUGUAUGAAGUACCUUCUUGUAGAGAAACUGGGGUUUCCUAAUGACUCCAUACUCAUGCUCACAGGUGGCGUACCUUUUUCUUUUUUUUUUUUCAACUCUUUUUCUUGUAAUCCAUGUUGCGUUAAGUUGAUUAGUUGAGUAGAUAACAACUAAAAAUUUUGAUCGGGAAAAGCUCAGUUGCAAACAAGUGAUAGUUCCUGCAAUAUUUCCCCGUUAGCAGUCAGGUUUAUUUGAUGGAAAAUUUUAAGCUAAUAAUAACCAGAUAUUUAUAAGCUAAUGAAAGCAGGAGUAACUACUAGAAAUUUAGUUUUUGGAAAUUGGAAUUUUCAAAAAAAAGAUGGCAAUAAAGUCAGGCGUUAUGAUAACCCUUAGGUAUAACUGUGGAAAAAUUAGAUUUGCUAUGGCAAACAAUUAUCCUCAGGCUUAAACCCGCAAGAUUUUUUUUAUUAUUAUCAUUAAAAAAUAGGCAGUAUUUAGGAAGAAAGGAGCCCGAAGCAGGUCCCAUAAAUUCCAUAUUAUUUAUGUUAACUCUGCUUAAAUCGAUCUGCAGAAGAUGAGACAGAUCGUUUCAAGAUCCCAACAAAACAGAACAUCCGAAAAGCCCUGAGAUGGCUGGUCUAUGGUUGCCAGUCAGGGGACUCGUUAGUGUUUCACUUCUCUGGCCAUGGCGCGCGCCAACUUGAUUAUAACCAUGACGAGGUUGAUGGGUACGAUGAAGCCUUGUGCCCUCUCGAUCAUGAGACCGAAGGGAAUAUAAUCGAUGAUGAAAUAAAUGACACCAUUGUAAGGCCACUGCCUCGAGGAGCCACACUGCAUGCAAUCGUUGAUGCCUGCUACAGCGGAACUGUUCUUGAUCUGCCCUAUGUUUGCAGGAUGAACAAGUUAGUUAUUUGCAAAAUUUCUUUGCUUGAGCUAUUAAUCAAUUUAAUCUUUAUUUGUCAUGCUUCACUAAUAUGCAGUCCAUCAUUGUCUUAUACAAACUUACUUCUUCCAGAAUACCCGGUUCAUAUUUUCUUUUACAUUUCGUUUUUAAUUAUGUAGGGAAGGGUUCUAUAUAUGGGAAGAUCAGAGAAACCCUUUAUUUUACAAGGGUACAAGUGGUGGACUAGCCUUCUGUUUUAGUGCUUGUGAUGAUAAUCAAAUCUCUACGGAUACCACUGUGAGUUACUCUUUUAUCAGGUUUACCUGAUAAAAGGAUCUAAUCAGGUUUCAUCAAUUUAUGGUUAAGUUGGGAGAAGGGAAUUCGAAUUUGGAACCUUCCUUUUGAAAGUGUGAAUAGUUAAAAAUGAAGUUAAGCCCCAGGCCCUCAGCUGCAAUUAGGAAUUAAACAUUAUAACAAGAAAGAAGUAGAAAAAUGAAAAGAAUAUUGUUUUAUCUCUUUAAUACAUAAAAGUUAACUAAUAUCAAUUAGCUUAGAUUGUUGUUUAAAUUGUUUUCUUGUAGGCUUUCACUGGAACAAAUACCAGGACCGGUGCCAUGACAUUCAGCUUCAUCCAAGCUGUGCAAAAUGAGCCUCGAUUAACGUAUGGCCGCUUGCUUAAUGCAAUGCGCAAUGCGAUUCGUGAUGUUAAAGCUGGUUUACGCCUAAAUGGUCCGAUUGCAGCUCUCAUUAAUAAAGUAUUGUUUGGAACAACAACACAGGUAUUCUUCUUUACCUAAUUUGAUAAACACUAUGACAGUUGAAUAAUAAUAUCCUUGCCAAGUAAACGAAAUGAAUUCUUGAUUCGCAGGAGCCACAGCUAUCUUCAUCCGAGAAAUUCGAUAUCUACUCAAAGCAGUUUGUGCUGUAGUAAUUUCCGUUGUCUUUCAUAAUUGUUUUUGACUAUUUGGCUCUGUAAUCAUUAAAAAUUAAAAUGAUUAUAAGUAACUUCUUUUGCAUACUUUUAUUUGGUAUUUAAUAUUCGUAACCUUGUAAAAAGAAACCUCUCACAGUAGCUAGAUCCCACGACUGCAUGGGACUAGCUAAUAUUUUCCAGUUCUCUUUGAUGUUAAAUCCGAUCAUAUGAUACAAGAAAAAGAUUUGUAGAAGGAAGAAUCAUAACAUUUAACAGGUUCCUAUUCUUGCAUACAAUACACAAGAAAUAUUCUGGUUAAUAUCUUCAACGGAGGAGCAAGAGCUUGCGAGAAGUGGUACACCAGCGAGCAUAUGAUUCAUGGAGGUUGGGCCAGUCGGAGGAUGGUGAAUGUGUGAAGUGGUGAAGCCACAAGGAGAGUACUUGCUCUUGCUCCUCUUGUUCUAGCAUUUCAAUGGUCUCCUCCAAUAACUUCUCUAGUUCAGCUCUUUCACUUAUGCUGAGCACUGGUGCAUCGGUGCCAUUGCUAGCUCUGCAGAGCAAUGGCAACCAUGAUGUUAGCAUCUUCAGCUUCGUUUGCCUGAGGUUCUCUUUGUUGCCUUCUUCAGUCUCUUCCACUUCCAGGCCCAUAUCCUUGGCUUGUUUGAACAAGAAUGCUGCAUAUUUGAAUAAUUAAGCAAAAAUAAGGAACAAGAAUAGGAGUAUAUGUUCAGAUAAAUCCAAGAGACUUUUUUAUACUGAAACAUAUUUGUCUUGAAUAAAUAACUGUGGCAAUUAAAAGUUUCAACUAGAACCUCCCAAAUAUCCAUUUAUCAAAUCACAACCUUUCUUUUGAGUCCUCAUAUUCUGUUGAAAUAUUAAAAUGGUAACUCUGUCAAAGCAUGAUCUUUACUGUUAUCACUUAACAAAUAUGUAUAAUUAGUAUGUUGCAGAUAUUUGGAGUCAAAGUCAUGGAUUUUAAAUUUGCUAGCUUAAGACUACUUAUUCAGCAAUUCCUCUUCAAAAAUUAGAAAAUGUUCGGUUAUAAAGGCAUAUACUAACCCAAGAUAUGCAAGCAGUCUGUUAGAGACCCCAUACACAACCUCUUUAUAUUUGUUAGGAUAGUUUUGAAUUGUAGUUUGAUUAGAAUUAUUUAAUUCUAAUUAAACUAAUAUAUCUUUUUGAGACAAUAUUUAAAUCUAGUUAGACUAGUAUAACUUAACUUAAUUGUAUUAAGAUAAGAUUAUUAUACUUGACCUUAUAAAAUGAUGCUAUGAGGUUAAAGAAUAGUCAUCAUUUAAAUUUAGAAAGAGUGAAUUGAGUGUACGUGAGAUAAAGGUUGUGAGUUUGAGAUUGUUCUCAUAAUUUCUUGAUUUUUCUCUCAGUAGAUCUUUCUCUGUUGAUGUGCCCAUAGACAUAAGCCAUCAAAAGACCGAACAACGUAAAUUCUUGUAUUCUUGUGGGUGUGCUUGAUUUCUUUCUUUCUUUAUUCUAUUAAUUGGGUAAGAUCUUAGGUAACUUUUUAGAGAUAAUUCCGCAAUUUUCACAACAAACGAGUAUGAGAGCUUUAAGGUCUUGAGUCAAUCUAAAUCUCGCGAUAGUAACUUUUCGACCAAUAUGAGAUUGAAAAGUUUAAUGGAAGAAACAGUUUCAGCCAGUGGCAUGUUAAAAUGCACGCGUUCCUAGUGCAAUAAGGACUAUUGAAGGCAUUGAAGGAAAAAGGCUAUCUUUCCUCGAAUUUAUCUGAUGGUGAGAAAAAUAACCUUAUGAAAAAAGCACAUAGUGCUAUUCUCCUAACUUAGCCUGAUGAGGUGUUAAGAGAAGUCACGAAUGAAGAAUCUGCUGCUGUAGUGUGGCUUAAACUCGAGAGUAUUUAUAUGACCAAAUUCCUAACGAAUUAGCUUUUAUAUCAAGCAACGAUUGUAUACUCUUAAGAUAUGUGAAGGUACAUUCGUUAAUACCCACAUUGAUGAAUUUGAUAAAGUUAUUUUUUAUUUAAAGAAUAUCAAUGUUAAAAUUGAAGAUGAAGACCUAGUCCUAAUUCUUCUAUAUUUUUUUACCUCAAUCAUAUGAAAACUUCGUGGGUACUAUAUUAUAUGACCGAGAAACUCUCACUUUCAAGGAUGUAAGGGCAUCUUUAAAUUCCAAGGAAUUGAAAAAGAAGAAAGUUGGUGGUAUUAGAAAUGAAAAUUAAGCAAAAGGCUUAAUUGUGAAUAGAGGAAACGAUAACGAGAAAGGUCUAGACAGAAAAAGUAAAUUUAGAGCAAAAGGAAAAACUUGCUAAAAUUGUGGUAAAAAAGAACACUUUCAUCAAAACUGUACCAAAUUCAAGAAUGAUGAAAAAAUGAACAAGUCUGAAAAUACUGCAAACAUAGUUGAAGAUCAUUUUUAUACUUUUGAGGAAGUUGAUAGUGUUCUUGCAGUUACUAAUGGUAACUUAAAGGAUACAUAGAUCUUGGAUUUGGCUUGUUGCUUCUACAUAAGUUCUAAGAGUGAUUGGUUUACAACUUAUCAAUCUAUUGAUAUGGGCACUGUACAAUUAGGAGACAAUUUUUCUCUCUCAAUUGUUGGCAUUAGCACAAUUCGAAUCAAAAUGUUUAAUGGUAUAGUAAGGACACUUGAGGUGAAACAUGUUCUUGACAUGAAAAAGAAUUUGAUAUCCUUGAGUUUGUUAGAUAAGAAUGGCUACAAAUAUAGUGGCCAAGAUGGUGUCUUGAAGGUAUUUAAAUGAGCCUUAACUAUCAUGAAAGGUAAGUUAUCCGGUGGCCUUUAUCGUCUAGUGAGAAGCACGAUUAUUGAAACUACUUUUGUAAUCUCAUCCCAUGAUCCUAAUAAUGAUGUUACAUAUUUAUGGCAUAUGAGAUUGGAUCAUAUGAGCAAGAAAGGAAUGACAAAAUUGAAUAAGCAUGGUUUACUAUGAGGUCAAAAAACUAGAAAGUUAGAUUUCUGUGAGCAUUGCAUCUAUGAGAAGUAACAUCAAGUGAAAUUUAACACUGCUACACAUCGAACCAAGAGUAAAACAACACAUCUACUCAUAUUUGUGAGAUCUUUCUUCGAUGGCAUCAAAAGGUAGAUCAUUAUACAUGUAGACCUUUAUUGAUAAUUUUUCAAGAAAGGCGUUAUAGUAUUUUUCGAAGGCUAUGAGUGAAGUGUUGACCACCUUUUUGCAUUGGAAAGGAUCGAUCGAGAAGCAGACUAAGAAAAGGAUCAAGAGCUUUCGAACAAACAAUGGUUUGGAAUUUUGCAAAGGUGAGUUUGGUCUGUUUUGCAAGAAUGACAAAAUCGUUAGACAUCGCACUGUCGUCAAAACACCACAUCAAAACGAUGUUAUAGAAUGGAUGAAAAGAACACUUCCGGAAAGAGCAAAAUGCAUGCUCUCUAAUGUUAGUCUACCCAAAGUAUUUUAGACAGAAGCUAUCAACAUGGCUUGCUACUUGGUAAAUCGAUCUCCAUCAUCUGCAAUUGAAUUUAAGACUCCCGAGGAAGUUUGUUCUAGUAAGCUCGUUGAUUACUCUAUAUUGAGAGUAUUUGGUUGUCUUAUUUAUACUCAUGUGAGUGAUGGUAAACUUGAGUAGAGGGCGACGGAGUGCAUAUUCCUAGUCUAUGCAUAUGGGGUGAAGGGUUAUCGAUUAUGGUGUACUGAUUGUAAGUCCCUCAAGUUUGUGGUGAGUUAGGAUGUUACCUUUGACAAAUCUGCAUUACUUCAUGGGAUAAGUCUAGAAUUGUAAACACAUUAGACUAGGAAGUUGGCAAGUAUGUGGAGCUUGAAAUCAAUGCUCCUGGGAUAAUGCAAAAUGAUAAUGAAAUUGAGAAUGAGCCGUAAGAAGUACAAGAAUUGGUAUCUCAUAUACAAGAACGAAGCAUUAUUACAAGGAAUUCGAGAGUAUCUAAGAAGUAUGAUGAUUUCGUUACUUGUGUCAUUGGUGAUUUUGAUUCUUAUGUUUUAUUUGUGAAAGUGGAGAUUGAUAAGUCUUACUUUUAUUGUGAGGCAAUUACAUGUGUCGAGUCUUCUACGGAGAUAGAGUCUCUACACUAGGAUCAAAAUGUUCGCUUAGUAUAUGAAAGAGGUGUAAAUAGUAGUUAUAAUGUGAUUAGUUUCUCCAAUUUUGAUUUUACUAGUGAUCUAUGUAGUAAAAGAUCUCAAAUGGAGUAUGUGUUCACUCUCUUAGAGUCUAUAAUCAGUUGGAAAGCAAUUCUUCAAUUAGCCAUUGCUUUGUCAACAACCAAAGCUGAAUAUAUGGUUGUGACGAGGCAGUGAAUGAGGUUUUAUGACUCCGAGGCUUAGUUAGUGAUCUUGGUUUUGGACAAGCAUAUAAACUUGUGUUUUGUGAUGGUCAAAGUGCCAUACAUUUGACUAAAAAUCAAAUGUUUCAUCAGAAAACUAAUCACAUCCAAGUCAAGUGUAACUUUGUUCGAAAAAUUAUUUCUAGAUGUAAGAUUGUAGUGAAGAAAAUAGCUACAGUUGAAAAUUCAGUAAAUAUGGUAACUAAGUCAGUUUCUAGGAUCAAGUUCAAGCAUUGCUUAGAUUUGGUUGGUGUUCAUAGUGCUUAGGGCCCUUUAGGGCAUUCGCAGUGUCAACAGAGAUUGGUUCGUAAGGUAAGGCUUGGUGAAUUCAAUCCUAAGGUGGAGAUUUGUUAAGAUAGUCUUGAAUUGUAGUUUGAUUAGGAUUGUUUAAUUCUAAUUAAAUUUGUAUACCUUUUUGAGAUAGUCUUUAUGAUAACUUUGUUACAUAGAGUUAACAUAGGUUUUUCUUUUGAAGCAUGAAUUGCACUUAUUCUUUUAGUUUUCUGCCUAGUCUUUAGCCAAUUUUCAGGCUUUUUAGUAGAAGUUAACUUUUAGGGUGUCUAGAGUCAUUUAGACAAUUUGAGCUUCAUUUGUUUUGUCAAAAAUCCUCUCAAUGCAACUUUUGAUCAGUUAACCUUUUUGAUUUUUGAAGGAAUGGAAGUUGCAAGUGAAACUAAAAGUGAGGACCUCAACAACUCUGCACUAAGUGGCUUGAAGGAGGAAAACAGGGUAGCAGGAAGCUCAAGGUGGCAACAACAAAACUAUUCAGGCAGAGAGUUUCUCGCUGCAGCGAGAAACAGGGCAUUAAGAUAGCAGGGCAGUAGGAUUUUCUCUGUAGCGAGAAUCCAAUCUCGUUGCAGCGAAAUUGAAGAUGUCUUUUAAGGCCAAGUUAGCAGUACCUCGCUGCAGCAAGAUUCCAAACUCGUUGCAGCGAAAACAUGUCAGAAAGAAAAAAAAAAUAUUCUGGGCUCGAGAUCCUAGGUCAAGGUUGAAUGAAGAAGGGACUAUAAAUAGAAUUUUUGCACAGAAAAAGAGGCAGAUUCGGGGGAGACACUUUGGGCAAGAAGAGGCAGAAGCAAAAUGGGAAAGAGAAGAAGAUUCAAGGGCUGGAGCUUGUAAAGCUGCAACAAAACAUCUCNUUGGAGCUUGUAAAGCUGCAACAGAACAUCUCUCUCUCUCUAGAUUUGAAUCUUUCUCUCUCUAUCUCAUUUUGUAAAACAAUGCUUUUGUUUGUUGUAUUGGGUACUCUUCUUUGUGAAAUGUUGAGCUAAACUCAUUAUUCUAGGAUUAUGGUUAACUCUAUUAUGUAGUUUGGAUAUUGUUUGGUUGGUUGCCUAGUCUUAAUGCAAAUCUUGAUGUUUACUCAAAGUUUGAAUUGAUUGUCCUUUUAAUUGAUUGAUCACCGAUUAAAUGUGCUUAAGUAUUUAGAUGACACUUGAAAAAGUUAAUCUAAAUUAGACCUAGACUUGAGUAAGGUGUGUUUAAAACACUUAAAAAUGAAUUUUAGUGCUUUGAUGUGCAGUUAUGGUAGAAAUACAACUAAUUGCUACACUUAGUUAAUUUGGAAUUCUUUAGCUUAAAGAGCUUAAAUUAUUCGUCUCCUAUAGACAUAUAGCGAUGCAAAUGGAUUAAGCAAGUGUAUAAUACCUCGACGGAGGAUUACACAUAACUUAAGAUCCUAAACUAAUAUCAAAUUUCAUUGAGAUUAAAUAACUAACCAAGCCCAAUUCCAAAUGAAGUAUUAGAGGACACCAUAAUCCUAGAAUUUUGGAUCAUUGAUUCCAUUUUAAUUUAUCAAUUGCAUCACUUAUAGUAGACUUAGUUAAUUAGAUUACAUUUUUUAAUCAUAGUUCAAAAUUUGUUGCUUGGAUAAGGUUAGUUUGUGUUAAUUUUGGUAGUUAGCAUCAAAUAUUAGAUCAACUCCUUGAGGAUCGACAACUCACUCAUCACUUACUACUUGUUGCGACUGUGUACGCUUGCACGAAAUCUUUGUUUGCAAUUUGCAUUAAAUUUGAGCAUAUUCAUAUUGCAUAAGCAAAAGAGAUAGAUUUUUAUAAAAUUCAACACUUUAAAUCUAGUUAGACUAGUAUAACAUAUCUUAAUUGUAUUAAAAUAAGAUUAUUGUACUUGACCUUAUAACAGGAUCCUAUGCGAUAAAAGAAUAUUCAUCAUUUAGAUUUAGAGAGAGUGAUUUGAAUGUACAUGAUAUAAAGGUUAUAAGUUUGAAAUUGUUAUUGUAAUCUCUUGAAUUUUAUUUUAGUGGAUCUUUCUCUAUUACUAUACUCGUUGAUGUAAGUCAUUAAAAAACCAAACCAGGUAAAUUCUUGUAGAUGUAUUUAAUUUUUUUUAUUUUAUUGAUUGGGAAAAAUCUUGAAUAACUAUUUAAAGAUAAUUCUGUAAUUUUCACAAUACUAUAGGAGGAAAUGAUCAUUUAAAAUCAUCCUUCUCUCCAAUACUUUGCACUUGGAGCAAUGACUUCUAACCAAGGCAUGUCUAGUGCUGGUUGAAGACCUCGAAUGUGACAUUUCCUUAAGAAUGGUUUAUAAUUAGUAUAAAUUAAUUGACAAUUAAAAUUUUUUUUCCCACAGUGAUAAUUGGUUGUUUAAUAUUUUUAAUGUGCUUAAACGGUCAAGUAUGGGUGGCGGCACGUCAGCUCCACCUUGAGCUAGAUCUCAUGUAUGACAUUUCAUACCUAAACAACUGAAAUUUUGUUAUUAUAAACUAAUCAAAGUCUAUGGCAAGGCAUAAAGACGUAUUGUGCUACAGUAAAUUUAACUCCAAAUCCUAAGAAUGAGAAUAAUAUUUAAAAAGCAAUCAAGUUAAAAUGAGGCACAAGUCAUAGUCAUGAUUCAUGAGCUGAAAAUUGUAGGAGAAAGGACAAUACAGGACAAGUCGUGAAUUGCGAUGGAUGAGAAAAAAUGGACCAAAGGGAAUGAAGACCACCCUAAUAUUGGUCAAACAACAUUAACAAGGUGCGAAUUGGCGUAAAACAAACAAAGCGCUAGAAAGAAUAAGUCCUUCCUCGAAGAAUAUUCUUUAACCAUGAACCUGUCAGCAACAGCAUAGGUGGAGGUAAUUAAGGCUAAAGGCCUAGGCUUUUUACAAGUCUUUUACCUCCCUUUGGGGUAUCACCAUUUGUUAACCAUAUCGAUAUCAACAGGUGAAAGUUCAGCAACAAAAUUCUUGUCCAGUUCAUGCAGAAUCAGGCAACCACUCGAUUUAAAAGCAGAAUUUCAUGAAUUAUAUGCUAAUCACCCUUAUUGCUUAGUGAUAAUAUAUUUUAAAUUGAGAUUCUUAUUCAAAUCUGAAUCAAAUCGGGAGUGGGUAAAUUGAAUAGUAUCUAAGGAAAAACUAAAAAUUCCGAUUCAACCAAAGAUGGGAAAAGUACUGAUUUUAAAUAACAGAGGAAGUAGAAUGGGGAAACGUACCCGAAACCUUAACCAGGGAACAUUGAACCCUCGGCUCAGCUGAAAGAGAAAGCCAAGCCAUUUUUGAAGUUGACGCCCACCUCUCAACAGCCUCUUCCUCAAACCCACAAGCGGCUAACUUCUGUGCCAACCAAAGCAGCUCAGCAGCCAGCUUCUGAGCCGAAUUCCCUGACCGGUUCACAUCCUCUCUCCCCAUCCCCACCCUACUCCACACGCCAUCUCCAACCGAUCGAAUCGCCCGUAAAACCCUGUUCAACCGAUACCGAACCGGUCCAGGUUCCGGAGCAUCGAGACCAACCGUGUCUUGCCCCAAUUCAACCAUUGCAGCUUCAAGCUGUCUAAGAGUCCUCGCAAAAGCAGCUGACAAGACGGUACGGUUGACUUCACGCAAAGCUUCGACGUCUUCCUUACGGUUCUCUUCUAUAAGUCUUUCCGCUAAAGAUCGAACAAUUUCAUACUUUCUUGAGCUAACAGGAAUGUCAUUAACGAUAGAUAGUAGCUGUGAAAGCGCACGAGCGAUUCCCGAGUCGCCAACCCCAUAGGCUGCAGCCACGUAGCUAUGGUUCUGGGGGUGCUUAAACGUGUAAUCAUCGGCUUGAGGGUGUAAAGUAGAAGGGAUCAGAGAAGGAAGUAAGCGCAGAAAGAAUAGAAAAAAAGUGAUGACAACAGCACGAAUUAGUUCAAGUAGCUUGUAUUUUCCUGCUAAGUUCAAGAGGGAUUUGUCAGCAUAAAUAAAUAUAGAAGUUACCAUAUUUCUGAGUAGCAAAGGGGCUAUGGCAGUUGGCGAGUUUUCCAUUAUGCCCAUGUUUUUUCUUCUUUUGGUUUUCUUGGCUUAGUUCUAACUAUGGUCUUUUAGUUUUCCGUUUGCUAGUAUGAAUGGAAAGAGUUUUGAGAGGUUAAGAAAUGAUGAAGAAGGAAGGACGAAUUGGUG
This 67138-nucleotide long non-coding RNA is filed under the name Theobroma cacao (cacao). RNAcentral's name for it is "long non-coding RNA (TCAC_LNC000787)". Lineage: Eukaryota; Viridiplantae; Streptophyta; Magnoliopsida; Malvales; Malvaceae. The record is from RNAcentral.